AUCAAGGCCUAUCUAUAAGAAGCCUUACAGGAUGGGAUCCGAAGAGCUAGCACAGCGAAAGAAGCAGUUGGAUGAGCAGAUCAGGAGAGGGUUCAUUCGUCCAAGUGCAUCACCGUGGGGAUCGCCUGUUCUGUUCGUGUCCAAGAAGGAUGGGACUAUCAGACUCUGCGUCGAUUACCGUUCUCUCAAUGAGGUCACGAUCAAGAACAAGUAUCCUGUCCCCAAUACUGAAGACUUGUUUGAUCAGCUAAAUGGAGCUAAGGUAUUUUCCAAGAUCGAUCUCCGGUCUGGAUAUUACCAAUUGAAGAUUCGACCCGAGGACAUACCCAAGACUGCGUUCGUGACCCGGUACGGUCUGUACGAAUGCAUAGUCAUGUCUUUUGGAUUGACUAAUGCCCCAUCUUACUUCAUGUACCUCAUGAACAAGGUCUUCAUGGAAUACAUAGACAAGUUUGUCGUCGUAUUCAUCGAUGACAUAUUAAUCUUUUCCAAGUUCGAGAAAGAGCAUGAGCAACACUUGAGGUUAGUAUUGGAAAAUCUUCGAGAGCAUCAACUUUAUGCCAAAUUCAGCAAGUGUCAAUUCUGGCUGAACGAAGUUGGAUUCUUGGGUCAUACCAUGAAAGCAAGUGGAUUGGCGGUUGAUCUCUCCAAGAUUACUACGGUAACCAACUGGGAAUCACCAAUUGAUGUGAAGGAAGUCAGGAGCUUCCUCGGACUCGCGGGAUAUUACUGCAAGUUUGUAGAAGGAUUCUCCCGCAUCGCUCGACCUAUGACUCAACUCUUGAAGAAAUGCAAGAAGUUCGAAUGGACGCCGGAGUGUGACGCAAGCUUCCAAGAAUUGAGAAGAGAUUAACUACCGCCCCAGUAUUGGCCACUCCAGAUAUCAGCAAGGAGUUUGUGAUAUAUUGUGAUGCCUCCAGAACCGGGCUCGGUGGGGUUCUAAUGCAGGACGACAGAGUGGUGGCGUAUCUAUCACGACAACUGCACCCGCAUGAGGAGAAUUAUGCCACCAUGAUCUCGAAUUAGCAGCAGCAGUGCAUGCCCUGAAGACAUGGCGACAUUACCUUCUGGGGAAACAAUCUUAAAUAUACACUGACCACAAAAGUCUGAAGUAUAUCUUCACCCAAAGGGAACUGAAUAUGAGGCAAUGAAGUUGGUUGGAGUUAAACAAAGACUACGACCUCAGCAUUCAAUAUCACCCCGGUAAGGCCAAUGUAGUGGCUGAUGCCUUAAGCCGGAAGACCAGCACCUUGAAUGUCAUGCUCAAGGAAAGGCAACCUGCCUUGUAUGAAGAAUUGGAGAACUUCGGAUUGGAGCUAGUAGAAUCAGGAUUCCUAGCUAACCUCGAAGUCAAACCAACGCUGGUUGAUGAUAUCAAGGAGGCCCAGAAGGGUCAUAAGAGCAUUGAAGGCAUCAAGAAGGCAAGACCCGAGGAUUCUCGGUGGAUGAACAAGGAGUAGUGUGGUUUGGGAAAUGUUUAUGCGUACCCAACAAGGCUGAACUCAAGGAUUUGAUCCUACAGGAAGCUCAUGAUACACCCUACUCUAUUCACCCCGGUGGUACGAAGAUGUAUCAAGAUCUUUGAGAAAUAUUCUGGUGGCAUGGCAUGAAGAGGGAAAUAGUGUUUUAUGUUGCCAAGUUCGAUGUGUGCCAGCGAGUCAAGGCUGAGCAUCAGCGACCUGCUGGAUUGCUACGACCUCUCCAGGUGCCAGAAUGGAAGUGGGACAAGAUAGGCAUGGACUUUGUUACCGGCUUACAAAGUUCAAGCAGAGGCGAUGACUCUAUAUGGGUCAUUGUCGACCAUCUGACCAAGGUGGCCCAUUUCGUUCCAGUCAACACCACUUAUGAUGGGGACAAGUUGGCUAGUCUCUAUAUUGAGCGUAUUGUGAGCCUUCACGGAGUUCCCAAGGAGAUUGUAUCUGACCGAGGCACGCAGUUCACCUCAAAAUUUUGGAAGAAGUUCCAAGGAGCCCUCGGAACAAAGCUCUCUUUCAGCACCGCUUUCGAUCCACAAACGGGCGGACAAAUGGAAAGAGUGAAUCAGAUACUCGAAGAUAUGCUCCGCGCUUGCGUCUUGGCACAUGGUGCCAAAUGGGAAGACUGUCUGCCGUUCGCUAAGUUCUCAUACAACAAUAGCUACCAGUCCAGUCUCCAAAUGGCCCCAUUUGAAGUGCUGUACGGACGUAAGUGCCACACCCCGCUCAACUGGUCCGAAACCGGUGAAGGGAUGAUUUUCGGGCCGGAAGUUUUGCACAAGGUAGAAGAGAAGGUGCAACUUGUCCAAGAAAAUCUAAAGGCAGCCAAGUCGCGUCAAAAGAGCUAUGCGGAUUCUCGCCGCAGGGAUGUGGAGUUCAUUCCCGGAGAUCAGGUGUACCUCCAUGUCACCCCUCUUAAAGGAACCAUGAGUUUCCAUGUUAAAGGGAAACUCGCUCCAAGGUUCAUUGGACCUUUUAAGAUCACGACAAGGCGUGGAGAAGUUGCUUAUCAGUUGGAGCUACCUCCAAAACAUUCGGGUGUGCACAACGUGUUCCACGUGUCACAACUCCGGAAGUGUCUUCAAGUGCCAAACCAUUAUGAUCUUUACAAGGACAUUGUCCAUCAGGCUAUCAACCUUCAGCCGGAUCUCACCUACCGCGAGAAGCCAAUCCGCAUUCUGGAUGAAGCUGAGCGUUGCACCAGAAGCCGCACCAUCAAGUAUUUCAAGGUUUAGUGGAGCAACCACACCGAAGCCGAAACAACAUGGGAGCGUGAAGACUAUCUCCGAUCUAAGUUUCCGGACCUUUUUAGCACCUAGCUUAGGAAUCUCGGGGACGAGAUUCUUGUAAGGGGGAUAGGUCUCUCACACCCUGUUUUUACUACCACUUCUCUGUAAUGCAUAAAUCCGAGCUUGUUAAAACUUUUUCAAAACUAAUGAUGUGAGUGCCAUGAUUGUCAUUGUAUGCUUGUGUGUUUGAUCAUGUGAUGAUAAAAACCCCAUUUCACAAUAUUGAUUUGUUUCCAAAGACCUUUACUUGUUUCUGAUCAAGGUAAAACCCUACUUUGAGUUGCACUACAUGUCCUUGAUGGCAAGAAGUGUUUCUACCCGAAGUUGGUGAUCUGAUUUUAACUUCAUUUUAGUGCUUCAAAACCACAAAAUAAUUAUUUUUAGAAUUAUUUUCCUAAUUAAAUUACAUGUCCAUUUCUGAGGCCAUAAUUGGUAUUCCUACUUGGAAAAAUACUUUUCUGCCUUAGAAAAAUCUGAUUAAAUUUGGAGAUGAUCAGAAGGACAUAUAUUUUCCAUACAUAAGAUUUUAAACCCCUAUUUAUAAUAUAAUUAUUUGAGUAAAAUCCUGAAAACCAUUUCUGUCUGUUUUGACCUUUUGAAAUAUUUCCAAAGGAAAUAUUCUCAAUAAAAUCGUAGAAAAUUCCAGUGGUAUCCCUAAGCCAUAUUUGGUGUCCACAUAAUGUUUCACCUUGAUCCAAGGUGAUUAAGGACCCCAAAUAACCCUAAAACCCCUUUUGUCCAGAUUGGAGUUAGAGCAACUCUACAUAGCAAAGUUUGUCUAAUGAUGCUGAAACUUUGCAGGAGUGCCUAAUACCUCAAAUGAGGGUUCCACACCAAAAAUGGGAUUUGUGGGACUUAGUUUUCCCACACUCUCUUUGGAAGGGACAGAUCUGGUCAAAUGGUGGUGUUUUCAAGUUUACAAAGCUAAACUUGUCCAAUGGAGCUCAAACUUGGUGAAACCCCAUGUUUUAGCACCAAACCAAAACCUGUUACGUUGCAGGACCAGUGGAGGGGUGCAACUGCCCCAAACCACUAGCAAACACCUUCUGACAGAUGGGUAAAAGCCCCUUUAACCCAUAGCUAAACCCAAACCCUUUUCUCAAAACUCUUAGAUUAGGUGGCCAGUAUCAAUGCCCAACCCCAGUAAACUGGCCCCUCAUUGGUUCAAAGUGGAAAUGACAAAAACCCUAAUCUAAGCUUUAGUUCAAAGCUGACAGCAUGAGUAUUCCUUGUCUCCCUUGACCAGCCGAAGCUCACAUGGGACCCCAACGCUAGCCUCACUCCCAGCCAGUGCCAGGACCUGCUAGACACGUCCAAAGUGCUUCAGAGCGCACCAGCAUGCCGUGGCAUGCCAAAACUGAGCUCUGGGCGCGCUACAGGAAGCCACCAAGGUGGGGGCGAUGCCCUUGGCCAGUUCCAGCCUCCCUCAAGGUGUCCAACCUGUUCCCCGACAACCCCUCUGCAUCAAACGACCAUCACGGCCCCUCCUCUCCCGCACUAGAGCUCGUGCGACGCGUGCCCGCGCGCACCAGAAUUGGCCAAGGUUGCGCGGCCACUGAUGCUCGACUCCUCUCUCUCCCCGUCUGUUGCAGAUGGUUCUGGCAGGUCAAAACCACGGCGUGAGACUGUGGUUUCGCCCCCAGCCCGUCUCCGCACCCCCAUGCGCGCCAUGGUGAGUCACCGGCGCUCACGAAUCGGCUCACUGUCGCGGGCGUGUAAAUAGCCCCCCCUCGCUCCUGCACCCCUGAGACAGCUUCGCCACGACCACUGGCACCUCCCUAGCCACCCCAGCAAGCCAGUAGAGCCCCGGUGCUCGAGAUCGAUCGAGGCCCCUCUGCCUCGGAGCUCGGGUCGAUCUCUGGCUAUACGACGGCUCCUGCAACCCUCGAUCCACCAAACUGAUCCCCUCGACCUUAGGAAGCUUUCCCCCAACUUUCUCGAGCAUUUCCGUGCCCCUAGCUACCUUCUCGACCACCUCCCGAAACUCCUCCACCGCGGCCUCCUCAUCGCCGGCGAACCCGUGCCUCUCCGUCGUUGUUCCGACGACCAACACGUAGGCGGCGAUGAGCCAAACCCAUUUAUGUCCUCGUUGGGGCUUGAGAACGUCGGCAGCCUCGCCGGCGUGCUCCCUCUCCUCUCCGGCCAGAGGUAGGAGACAACCCCGACACGUGUGUCCCACCUAUUGGUGGCCCAACUCUCUCCCCCUCGCUGCCCGUAGCAGCUGACCGCAAGGCCCCGCAUGUCAGGUUCAAACCUGACGGCACGCGCGCCUAGGCAUGCUGUCGGCUGGCCUUGGGCCGGCCCAGUUCCAGGCCGAGCCAGGCCACGAACUUAGCCCAUUUUUCUGUUGUUUUUAAAAUCUGAUUUCAAAGAUUUUUAUAAAAAUAUUUAACUAGUGUAAAAAUAUAUUUUUUCCACUCAUGUUCUUCUAAAAAUAUGUAGUAUUUAAUAAGACCUUGGGAUGAAUUUUUCAGCAACUAUUCUGUUUUACAAUAAUAAAAGGACUAAAUUGGAAUAUUUUUGCUUCUGUUUGGUUGAUUUCAAAAAUGUUCCUUCAUUGGAAUGAGAGGCAAAUAUUUUUCAGAAUAGCCACUUAGAUUUAUGAGUAAUAAAGAACAUUUUUAAAAUGACUUAUUUAUUCUUUUUUUGAGUGAGCUAUUUCUUAUUUAUUCUUUUGACGACGAUAGAAAAUCCGUGUGACGAGGGAAUCGGAGCGGAAGACCUCGAAGACCCCGGAUACCUGACGGACCAAGGCAAGCAACCCUUUGACCAUGACUGAGUAUAUGUUAUAUUACAUGUUAAGAUAUCAAGUAUUUCCGUUGCAUAUGAAUCAUAAGUUCCGGUAAAUCACUAAGGUGAUGUUACCGAUGGCUCCUCCGGAGCACAUGCAUUGAGCUUGAUCCUACCCCUUUUUGAGGAUCAUGCUAGUACCAUGUUGACAAGUAAAGCUAGAGUAAGAGUAGCAUGAUCAUGGGUUGAUCAAAGUCUUAUGAAAGACCCGUCGGGUGCCACUAAUGCCCGAGGGUGAUGAUGAGUUAGUUGGCCACUUUUGGUGAAGUGGUGCACCGGGUCUUUUGAGUGAGUAUGGUUUCGGAAAUGGGAUUAGAUUUAUGAUGUGUCGAUCAUCCCAACCUUACCUGUACGACCACGUUACCCCUUUAUGGGACGGGGCUUUGUUGAUUACUCUGGUCGGUGCUAAGAGGAGCCACAUUACUAGUGGCAGGAGUGAUAUGUGGUCACUCUCGUGAUGGGGUCGUGCCAGGUAGGGCGACUAUGCCAUUUUUAUGAGUUCCAGGCACACCGUUGGUCUCCGCAUGGUUGUUACUGUCCAUAGUUGGUGCUCGUAAGAUGUACAACAUUUGGGCUGGGUACCAAUCGAGUGGACCUCUUUGUUUAGUAUCGUUAGGGGAAAGGCAUUGAUCUGGUACUUACCUCGGUAUGUUAUAUACUGCGAGUCGUGGAUGACACAGAAGUUUCCCGGAUCUCGUGGGUCCAGCGUACUACCUCUGCAGAGUGUAAAACUAUUUGAAUAGCCGUGUCCACGGUCAAGGACAGUUGGGUAAUCCUGCUUAUACUACGUCCAGUCGUUUCCGCAUAAACCAAGUGUGUGCGAGUUGUGAUGAAAAGGAGUUAUUGAUCUCUGGGAUCACUGAGCACGUUCAUUCUGCGAUCUCGACUCGUAAGUCAGGGUCCCCACUGGAUGGCUUCAUCCUCUCCGGCUGCCCGCGUCACCGCUUCAGGCGUCUCUGCCUUCGUCAUUUCCUCCGCGAGAUAGGCCUCGACGAUCCUUAUCCUCUCCUUCCCACGACGGGCAUCCCGUUCCCGACGGGACUCGAAGUCCGCGGGUUGCCGAAGGAUCCGCCCGCCGGGACAUGGAGGAUCCCGUCCGAGAGGAACAGAGCGCCCUUUGAGAGGUCUCUAUGAAGUCGCGGUGGACAUAUCCUUCCAUCGGCCGGGCACUGUCCUCGCGCAAGCGGCGGAGUGCAAUGCGAACCGCCAUUGCCUCCUCCACUCCGCGCGGGACGAGCCCCCAGUCGACGGAUCCGGAUCGGUCGGAGUCGGAUCCACUGGAGGUCAUGCCAGAGAAGGCCUGAGAUCACCGGAGGUGAGCUUGGACGGCGGAUGAGAGUGGAGGGAAGUGGAGUCAAGUGGCUAGGUUUGGUCCGGUCAACGGAUGAGGACGAAUAUAUAUGGGGUCAAUACGGACCAGUGGGGGUCAGGCGGCGCCCAGACUCCCCCAUGUCCACCCCAUAGUUGGGCUAGAAAUGGGGCGUUCCGGUCAGCCCAGGCGUUUGAGACUCGUUUAAGAGGAUCGUCUGGAUCGAUUUUUUGUAAUCGAACAGUGUCCGGACGGUCUGUCCGGUGGUUUGAGGAGGAUUUGAAGAUUCCGAUGUACCGUGAAUAGCUGUAACUCCACUCUGUAAGAGCAACUCUGGCAGACCAUGUAUAUUCACGACCUGCAAACGCGUUUUGCAGUUCGUCGAAGUGGGGUUUUGCGGAACGAAAAGUUGCGCUGCAGAACAGAACCCGCAUAAUUUGAAAAAUAAACAUUCGCGGGCAUGCUCAAAACCACAUUCAUGAUCAUACAACACUACAUUCAUGAUCAUACAACACUACAUUCAGUACUAGAGGGAGGCAUCACCUACUGGAGCAACUACCUAUACUACCGCACUACGCAAAAUGGAGCUCACCGGAGUCGAGCUCGUGCAGUAGAAGAUAGCCUACAUUCAGUCAUCGUCCUCGUCGUCCUCGUCGGAGGAGAGCUCGACGUAGAUGCGCUUCUGCGCAGUAGCUUCGCGGCGCCACUCCUCCACCUUGUGGCCGAAGGCGAUGGCCGACGCGACACCCUGCUCGUAGAGCACGGUGUCGAUCUCCUCCUCCCUCCGGCGGCGUUGUUGGUCCUCUUAGGCCUCCCGUGCACUCCGCGCCAGCAGCACGGGCAAGAGGCUAUCCGCCUCCGCCGGAGGGAGGAAGUCCUCCGGUCCGACGACGGCCCUGGCACGUCGCUCCGGCACCGCCUCGGCCUCCGGCUCCAUCUUCACCGACGGGAGCUCUUCGAGCUCCCUCUUCACCGGUGGGACGGAGGAGGACGAGCGGGAGCUCGACGCCUCGAUUGAGCUCCUGCCGGAGAAGAGGCAGCUGCGCGCGCGGUCGUACUCCUCUGUCUCGCGAUGGAGGAGCGACGACGGUGGCGUCAGGCCCCAGCGCGUGUACUGGCGGGCGGCGCGCUUACGGGCGGCGUCGGAUCUGACGCGACGAGCCCUCUCGGGGUCGUCGUCCCUACGGCUACCGGAGCUGGCCAUACGCGGCGGUGGAUUGGAGCGGCUAUGCGGCGUAAUGGAGGCGCGUGGCGGGCGGUGAGGUGGGGGGGGGGGGGGCUUUUCGCGGCGGCGGAGGGAUAGGAUUUCGACCCUUAUCCAGCGGUCGAACCCGCAGUUAUACCGGUCGAGGGAUCGGUUUACGGGCCACCGCAUAAAAAAUUCCAGAUCGAGCCGCGUUUGCAGUGUUUGCUCUGGCAAAACAAAUGAGCCCAAACCCGUAUAGUCGCCGGAUUUUUUGCGGGCAGGCCGUUUUGCUCUAACUACUUCUCCUAUUCUCAUGCGUCAUUAGCGCAUGCGCUGGUUUAGUGGAAUUAGUUCCGUAUUUGUCAGGUCAUGGCCACACCUGUGUGUGCGUGGGUCGGUGCCUAUGUACUCUCUGAUUGACUGAAUACAAGUGCAGUUCUAGUCUCCAUUGUGUCCUUACCUCUCACAGUUUUUAUUUACUUUUUUUUAGACAACAUUUCUAUUUACUAGUACUCCACAGCUGUAGGACAGGGUGCGUCGAACAUUGACAUUCAUGCAUAGGGCCGGUAUUUUUUCUUUAUUUUUUGCGGGCGCAUAGGGCUGGUAGUUGUUUCAGGCGUAAAUCAACAUGAGCUCGGGGUGGGAAUGGCUGAGAAAUUUUGUAAUGUUCUAAGCCCGGCGAGACCCUUGAGAAAGGACUAGCUUUUGUAGAACAUCUUGGAUGCUCUUCGAUCGUUGUGGAAUCUGACUCUUUAAAGCUCGUCCAACUUUGUAAUGGUAUAUGAGGUUUUGACUUCAUGUGCAACGAUAAUGACUGAAUGUUUUACAAGUGCUCAAAGGAUCGGGUGGAUUUUUUUCAACAUUGUCCAAGGGAUGCAAAUAAGGUGGCUUAUAUUUUAGCUAGGCAUGCUUUUGAUUCAAAUUCUGUUAUUGUUUGGGAUGGUGAUCUACCCACUUUUAUCAUUGUCGGCCGUAAUUGCGGAUGUAACUAUUCCUACUAUUUAAAUAAGAGAGCCAUGAAGCAUUCUUUUCAGAAAAAAAAAACAUGAGCUCAGGGAUUUUUUAUAUCUACUUGAAUCACACACCGGAUACAAUCCUUUAUAGGUGGGCUGCUUCAGGCCAAACGAGGAAAUCGACCGAAACUACACAUGAUUUCAGGUAACUAAAAAAUUGAAAUGCUUGACAUGUAGAUUUUACUUUAAGUUCGUAACGCCAAAUUAAGCACAAUACAAAGCAGUUAACUUGAUAGGUCUUGGACCGAGGCAAUAACAAGGCACAAUACAAAUAUGUUUACACAUAAAUUGCGGCUUUUUAUAAUAUGCAAGAAUACACAAAAAUGUAAACUUUUGAAAAAGAAAUUCUAAGAAGCAAUUGCACUAGUGGCAUUGGUGAUACCAUUAAAUAUUAAAGGAAAUGAAUAAAAACUAAAUAAAUAAUAUUAAAUUUACACAAAAUUAUUGCAUUGUUUUGAUAUGCAAGAAUAAAUAUAGAGUAGUGAAACUAGUAGCAUCGGUAUUACCCUUAAAGAAGUAAUAAAAACUAAAAAGAAUAAUGACAAAAAUUGCAUAUAACUUACACAAUAAUCUCCCUUUGGUAUAAUAUGCAAGAAUAAACAUAUUAUAGUUGAAUUCAUGGCAUUGGCAUUACCCUUAAAGAAUAAAAAAUUAAAUAAAAGUAAAAUUAAAUUAAAUUAACGAUGUUUCUGAGGAAAAAUGAAUUAGUGGCAUUGGUAUCAAAAUUUAAUAAAUAAUAAUAAUAAUUGCCACAAUUUGCACAUAAAAUUUCUUCUUUAUAAUAUGCAAGAAUAUGCAUAUAUAUAAUAGUGGAAUUUACGUUAAAUGGGGAAGUUUACUAAGUAGGAAUGAAUUAGUGGCAUUGGCAUUGGUAUUAAAAAUGAUCCUCACAAUAGUACUAGGGGUACGAAUGAGGGGCGAAGCCUAGCUACGGCGCAGUUGUUGCACUCGGGUGUACGAGUUUGGGCCCUACUCGGGAGUGGUAAAGACCCUAUGUCUCGAGCUCGGAGGCUGGUGUUUUCUUAUGGGGGGUGUAAGUAUACAUAAUGGUUACCCCUUGAUCAGGAACCCGGGAGUGGCUUAUAUAGAGUGCGCCACGACUGGUCGAGCCUCAUUACAAAGGUGAGUUAAUACUAAUAACUACGGAAGUUACUAGUAACAUCAGUUUUAAGUCGAGCGUUACUGGUAACACCGAUCUUCAUUGGGCAUAAUGUAGUAGUUUAAUCUUCCUGCCAUUGCAGCCUCUUCGUUGGACGCACGUUACCUUAGUCCGAGUGUCGGGGUGCGUCCGACUGGUGGAAGCUAGUCCGAGUGAGAACCUCUUCACCUGAGUAGGAGCGAGACUUCACUGAGAGCCUUGACGACCUUGACGACUGUGUGGGGGCCUGGGUGGGCCUAGGAAUGUUGGUCCAUGGCCAUACCCCUAGUAGACAACCCCAUUAGUAGCCCCCGAAUCGGUUGAGAUUCUGCUGGCCAGGUGAAAGACACUUCGUGGUGUCCUCGACAUCUCAGGGACGCCAAGAAUACAGCCUGGGGCUGUUUCACUCGGACUCUCAGCAUACCACUAUCGAUUCAGGAGUGAAACAAUCCGAGUAUUCAGGCUCGUCCACCCGCUUACAAUCGGUAGUUGCUAUUUGUCUCUCGGAGAGAUGAGGUGAUGGCUUGGAUGAACCCGAGCUCGGGGCUUUGAAUGACCAGAAGAAGGGAGGAUGGAUCCCAUUCGCCCCAAGCAUAGGGUGAUCUGAUCAUCUUCGCGUUCAUAUGAGUGACUGAUAUCUUACAGAAAGACGAAUGAACGGAUGACCGAAUCGCUCUGUCCCGAGUCGUAGGACGUGGAAUUCAUUUGGAGGGCGAGUACGACGAAGUCUUUGCGGUUUUUGGAUCGUGGGAGCGCGCCGGAAGGAGCGGAAUCAAUGUCGUCGCGGUGAGUGGGAGAAGUGCCAAGGCGCCCCGAUUCCCAUGCGUGACAUGUCACCACGUGCUGCAGACGCACUGAUCCAGGGAUCAUGCGGAUCCUUUCCUCGGCGACGGAUUGCUCGAGGGAGAUACGCCUAGACCGCGUAUAAAAACGGGCGAGAUCGACGGGAAAGAGUGAUACGUCACCAACGUAUCGAUAAUUUAUGAAGUAUUAAUGUCAUUUUUGCUUAUGUUUACAAUACUUAUAUCGUUUUGCUGCACUUUAUAUGAUUUAUCUAGCACUAACCUGGAUUGAUGCUAUUUUCUGCAGAACUAUCGUGUAUUGUUUUUUGUGCAGAAUUAAAAUUUCUCGGAAUUAGGCGAAACUUUUUGAUGAUUUUUUGGAGGAAAAGAGAAAUAUUGGAGCAAAGAACCACCAGAGGGGGGGGGGCCUGGUGCCUACUAGACACCAGGGCGCGCCAGCCCACCCUUUGGUGGUGUGGUGUCUAGUGCGCCACUCGUGGCCCAUCUUGGCGUGAUUUCAAUGCCCAAAAAUCCUAUAAAUACAGAAACCUUCAGAAAUGACCCUAGACGAGAAAUUAAGCCGUUGUAGGGCCUAUGUAUCCACGAAAAACCAAUCUGGAGAUGUUCCAGUACCAUGCCGGGGAGGGUAAAUCAUCUCUGGUGGCUAUCUUCAUCAUCCCGUCGGCCACCAUGAUGAGCAGGGGGUAUUCCACCCUCGGGGCCGAGGAUUUGUACUAAUGGCUAUGUGUUUAAUCUAUCUCUCUCUCGUGUUCUUCAGAUGUCAUGAUGUUGAUUUAUCACGGGCCUUGUUAAUAUAGUUGUAUUAUAUGGUGUUUGUCCCAUGCUAUUGUUGUGAUGAAUUGAAUCUUUCACUUUAAGAUCUCGUUAUGUGGGAUUGAAUAUUCACGUUUGAGAGCACAUAAUAUAUGUUUUGCAUACGGAUACCCGUAGUGACAUUGCGGUAUUCAACUGAUUCACUUGAUAUAUGUUAUGGCAUCAACUCGCGGAUUCCCGAGGUGACAAUGGGGUAAUCUAGGCAUAGGGGUUGAUUGCAUGUUUUCAUAUUAUGUUCUUCGGUUGAAAUUGGUGCUGUCCUUGAAGUUCUUUGUGUUGGAUUGAGUAUUAUGAAUCUGAAUUUGUUUUGGUGCUAUUUUAGUACGAACUCUUGAUAGAUCGAUCAGAAAGGAUAAUUUGUUAUCUUAGUACGAACUCUUAGAAUGAUUGAUCAGACAAAAUAACUUUGAGGUGGUUUCGUACCCUACAAGCAAAUUCUUCUUAUCUUCUCUGCUAGAUAGGAACUUUGGAGUGAUUCUUCAUCACACGCUGAGGGAUUGUUAUAUCAUCUAACUAUGUUAGCAUUGUUGAGAGAUUGCACUAGCGAAAGUAUGGACCCUAGGCCUCAUUUUCAAGCAUUGCAACAAUGUUUAUGCUCACUUUUAUUACUUGCUACCUUGCUGUUUUUGUAUUUUUUAGAUUACAAAAACCUAUAUCUACUAUCAUUACUAUACUUGUAUCACCAUCUCUUCGCCUAACUAGUGCACCUAUACAAUUUACCAUUGUAUUUGGUUUGUCGGGGACACAAGAGACUUUUUAUUAUUGGGUAUUACAGUUGUUUGAGAGAGACCACCUUCAUCCUACGCCUCCCACGGAUUGAUAAACAUUAUGUCAUCCACUUGAGGGAAAUUUGCUACUAUCCUACAAAACUCUACGCUUGGAGGCCCAACACGAGUUUACAAGAACAAGUUACGUAGUAGAUAUCAAAGAGCUCCACACACUUUAGAUUUGCCACUUUUUCUUCCCCUCUCGCUUUCCACCAUCACGCUUCAGAGCUCCACCACGUCCGCGUCCACCACUAUCACGUCCCCCCGCCACGCGGUAUGUUGAAGGGCACGAUAGCGAAGACUGAGCGGGUCAAGAGGGGCUCACGAGAAUCUUCAUCGAGCGUCAGAGUGCUCCAGCUGGACUGGAUCCAGGGUGACUAGAUGUCGUCCCACGUGUCCAAGAGUCGUGUGCUAGAGCUGCAGGGCGAGGAGCUCAUGGCCCUAGGGAGCUGGCGACUGUCACGGGAGGGCGAGUAGGAGCCCGUGACACGAGGAGAUGAGUGAGUGCUCCUUGUGACCCACAUCGAGAGAGGUUUCUCCCUACCCCCGCAUGCUUUCUUCCGCGAAUUCCUCGAUUUCUUUGGCGUGAAGCUUCAUCAUCUCCCCUCGAAUGUCGUUUUUUAUCUGGCCACCUUUGUAUAUUUGUGUGAAAAUUUCCUCGGGUGUCAUCCGCAUUGGCGGUUGUUCAAACACCUGUUUAUGUGUCGAGUGAUGAUGGUGAAGAAGUCUUCUAAGUCGGGGGGGGGGGAGGAUGAACGUAGUGCAGCUCUGCGGUGGUUUAGGUAUCGAGCUUAGAUGGAAGAGUAGCUUCCCCAAAAUGUCCUUCCCCGAUUCUGUGAAGGAUUGGCAGGAUUCUUGGUUUUACUGCCAGGAUAUCCUAGUAGGUGAUGGUCAGUCGGGUCGUCCACCUUACUCGGCCGAGCGAGUCCAGUCGUCCCCUUCUUUGACCGUGUCGAAGGAGGAGAGGACAGAGGUUAACAUCUUGGUGAUUGCUCUGGUUGCGCUCUUGCGAAAGGGCAUCAACGGGAUGGAUCUUCUGGAGGUAUUCUUCUAGAGGAGGAUUCAACCCCUCCAAGCGAGGGCCCGCCCCAUGUGUAAGUACGAGGGGCUGAAUGAUCCGACCCGCGUUCACCCAGAGGAGCUCGGGGUCGAGGAGCUGGAGGGCAAGCUCAAGGCGAUAACUCCCGUGCGCGACAAUCCUAGGGGCACCAGACUCGUGCCUCCUUUCUUGGAGAAUAAUCCGUCGAAUGAGGUAACCCUUGUAUAAUUCAUCGAAGUGAAUUCAAUUGUCAUUGUCUUUUGUAUUUGUUAGUGAUCCCGCUUCUUUACUUUGAUAGGCCUUUACAACGUUAGUCAGCAACGUGGCAAUGGUCGAUCGCUCGCUGAUUGACGUCGAGAGAAACACCAAGAAUCCGGAGAGCUGGGAAGGCGGUGAGGACGAUGAUGAUAAGGAAAAACCCGAGGCGAGUGACAACUAGGAGGAGCAUGGAGACAAGUCGGAGUCCUCCCGUUUGACAAAGUCCGAUUUGAGGCACGCAGCAAGGCGUGCCAGGACCCUGGAGUCCGUACCGGGGGCACCAAUACUCCGAGUGUGGCAAGACCGACUGGGUCAGCCGUGCCAACCCAUAGCUCCAAACGGGGGUGUAGUGGGCCUAAGGUGUCACCACAGAAGGCUGCCAAGCAACCUAAGAUCACGGUCUCCAAGCCUCGUAAGGUCGUCAUUCCGCGAAUAAAGGUUGACGUGCCCAUGGCUUCAGCAUCAAUACUCUUAUCGAGUGACUGUAUUUUCUGAGUGAUAUUUCCUGAAUGAGGGCUGAUUUUCUUGUGGUUUUGUUGUAGAGCCGAUACUUCGACCAGUUCUCUCAAACCCAAGAGCUCGGACAAAGGGUCGGUUGAUGCCAACGUUGCUUCUUCGAAAGGUAUAUCAUGAGGUCAUAUGAACUUCAUUUGGGGCUUGAGAUUUCUUGUUGGAGCAGUUGCCGAGUGCCCCUUGACACUUUUAGGACUGCGAGAAGUGAUCGAGAUGGCACUGACAGUCUCUUCAGCUAUUGGGGACAUGGUGAAGGAGAGUGCCACUUCCAGCCGAUUGGCUGGGUCUUCGGCUGCUAAGGUUGUGACUCCCGUGCGGGAUGCUACUUCGGCCGAGGAGUCACUCGGAAUAGGUCUGACUGCCACUCCGUCUGGUCCUCCCAUGGCCAAUAUCUUUCAGAUGCACCAUAUCCCGAAGGAUCAAGAAGUCGCGCGCAAGGAGGCCCUAACGCAGCCACGGGUAAUGUUUGGGCGGCUGAAAGGGGCAUACGAUGCCCGCGAGGCUGUAGAGAAGAAUGUUUGGGUGAGUUCCUUUGGAGUGUUUUUCUUUUCUUGAUUCUGGUCCCGAUUGGGUUUGCAGGGAGCACGCCCACUUGGUGUUCACUUUCAGUGGGGGCACACUGAGCGCACCCAUUGGGUGUAGUCCCCGAGACUGUCGUCGACAAAGUCAGUCGGCGGCCUUCUUAGUUUCAAUAGCAAGUUGAGAGUCACUGACGGGGUAUAGGGCCCUUUGUCUCCCUUUUUAUUCUUCCAGUGGGGGCGCACUGAGCGCACCCACUUGGUGUAGUCCCCGAGACUGUCAUAGACUGGGUCAAUCGACAGUUGUCUUAGAGUCGCCAUAUUUUGUUUUUUUCAUCAUCGUAUUUGUUGUUGACAUAAUUCAUGUAUCUCGAGGGCUGUAAUGACGCCAUGGAGCAGGAGGUAUGGGACACGUGUCUCAGCCUUGACGCUCAAAGGGCUAAGAAUGAGCGCCUCGAGUAGGAGAACUUCACACUCAAAGGUAAGCUCUUAUAUCCGACUGUCUCAACAUUUGAAUCAUUUCCUCAUCCGAUUGAGGUUAUUUUACCAUAUCAACUUGCUGAGAGGUCGAAGACUUCUAUUUCCUUAGUUACUAUGGAGGACACCCUCGAGAAGAGGGAUGAAGACCUUGCGUCGGCCUGGAAGGAGGCCAACCAGAAGACCAAAGCAGGUGAAACCAAACUCAAGUCAUUCAAAAAGCUCGAGGAGGACAAACAACUCCUCGAAGUUGGUGCGAGGAAGUCCGUCGAAGAGCCUGCCGAGAUGAAAACACAUUACGCCGAAUGGGAGAACAAGUUCAAGGAGGUCACUACCAAGAAGCUCGAGAUGUAGCAGUUUGUCAAGGACUUCGGCAAGGAUAUGAGCGAGAAACUCAAAGGUAUGAUGCUGAUCCUAGUACUUCCUUGAGGUGUUUUCUUGUGGUUCCCGGGUGAUACCUGAUGUAUUUUGUCCUUUGCUUGUGUGCAGGAUUCUACGUCGAUAUCAAUGAGGAGAUCGACAAGAUUGAGAAGAAGCUCAACCCCAAGAGGGAACUCUUCAGAGAUAGCACCGCAUUGGCUGUUCUUCAGUUGGAGGAGCGCAUCGAAUGUGUGUCGGGCUGCGUCCAGUGGCUUGAGUCGGCUGUCUUGGAGAUCGACCAAGAGGUCUCCACUGGCAAGAAAUUCUCCAAGGACGUGCGAGCUCUUAUUGACCGAGUGAAAGCGGUUCCCAGUCAAAUGCAGUCGUGGAAGAAGUCAGCAGCCCGAGCCCGAGCUGACAUCGCCCUCUCGCUGGUCCGUAUCCAUUGCAAAGGAAUGCAUGAGGAGAAGUUGAAGAACCUCAAGGUUGCCAACAGAAAGAACGCCAAGUUCGAGGACUUCAUGGAGAUGUUCAUGGAGGCUGCCGCCCAUAUUGCUCAUAGGAUCGAGCUCGACACCUUUGUGGAAGCCGUGGUUCUGCCAUCCUCCGAGCGAUGCUUAGAGAAAGCUUUAAAUUUUAUUUUCCUCGGAAUGCCGAGUGGAUGAUUUACACCAAAAACUUUAAGUGAGCCUUGGGCUUUCGUUAUCCGUACUUUACUUUUAAUCACACUGUAGUUUUGUUUGCUACGAUUUCAUUAGAAUAUUGGUUUUUGAACCAAUGUUGGAUAUGUCCGUCAAGAGGUUCGAGUGAGGGUUAUGCCCUCACCCGGAGUCAUUUUUUACUUAGGCGAAAGUGUGUUCACAGAUAAGUCCCCGAGUGUGGAGUUCGUCCUCACUUGGGGCCGGUUUUACCUCAAGAGAAAUCAGGUUUGCAGCUAAGGAAUGAUUGUCCUGUUCAUCUUGGCAUCCGCGUGGGAGUCGGGUCCUCACUUGGAACCGUUUUUACUUAGGAGAAAACAGGUUCGCAGCUAAGCCCCCGAGCAUGGAGGUCGUCCUUACUCGGGGCAUGUUUUAUCUUAGGCGAAAACUGGUUCUCAACUAAGGAAUGAUUGUUCUGUUCAUCUUGGCAUUUAAGUGGGGGUCGGGCCCUCACUCGGAACCAUUUUAACUUAGGCGAAAGCAGGUUCGUAGCUAAGCCCCCGAGCGUGGAGGUCGUCCACACUCGGGGCCGGUUUUAUCUUUGCCAAAUUCUGGUCGCAACCAAGGUAAGGAGGUAGUUCUUCAAAACUUAAUGAUGGUCCUAUCCAUCUUGGGGUCUGAAUGAAGAUCAUGCCCUCAUUUGGAACCAGUUUUACUUAAGAGAAAGUGUGUUCACAACUAAGUGAUACGUAUCCGUCGUAUCUAUAAUUUUUGAUUGUUUCAUGCCAAUAUUUUACAACUUCCAUAUACUUAUGGAAACUUUUUAUACUAUUUUUGGGACUAACAUAUUGAUCGAGUGCCCAGUCCCAGUUCCUGUUUGUUGCAUGUUUUUCGUUUCGCAGAAAAUCCAUAUCAAACAAAGUCCAAACGGGAUAAAAACUUACGGAGAUUUUUUGGAAUAUAUGUAAAUUUUGGGAAGUGGAAUCAACACAAGGCGGUGCCCGAGGGGUCCACAAGCCAUAGGGGCGUGGUCUAGGGGGUAGGGCGCGCUAGGCUGGCUUGUGGCCACCCCGUAAGGCGGUUGGUGCCCUUCUUUCUCUACAAGUAAGCUAAUAUCUAGAUAAAAAUCGUGUUAACUUUUCAGCCCAACCAGAGUUACAGAUCUCCGGGAAUAUAAGGUGAAAGGCCAGAAUCUGGAACGCAGAAAAAUGCAGAAACAGAAAGAAACAGAGAGAGAGAUCCAAUCUCGGAGGGGUUCUCGCCAUGGAGGCCAAGGAACAGAGGGGAAACCCUCGUCCCAUCUAGGGGGAGGCCAAGGAAGAAAAAGGAGGGGGCUCUCUCCCCCUCUCUCCCGGUGGCACCGAAACACCGUCGGGGCCAUCAUCGUGACGGCGAUCUACACCAACAACUUCGCCGCCGUUAUCACCAACUCUCUCCCCCUCUAUGCAGUAGUGUAACACCCCUUCUCCCUGCCAUAAUCUCUACGUAAACAUGGUUCUCAACACUAUAUAUUAUUUCCCAAUGCUGUAUGGCUAUCGUAUGAUGUUUGAGUAGAUCCGUUUUGUCCUAUGGGUUGAUUGAUGAUCAUGAUUGGUUUGAGUUGCAUGUUUUAUUAUUGGUGCUGCCCUAUGGUGCUCUCCGUGUCGCGCAAGCGUGACGGAUCUCUGUUGUAGGGUGUUGCAAUGUGUUCAUGAUUUGCCUAUGGUGGGUUGCUUGAGUGACAGAAACAUAAAACCGAGUAGGUGGGUUGUUGCAUAUGGGAGUAAAGAGGACUUGAUACCUUAUAAUGCUAUGGUUGGUUUUACCUUAAUGAUCUUUAGUAGUUGUGGAUUCUUGCUAGAGUUCCAAUCAUAAGUGCAUAUGAUCCAAGUAGAGAAAUUAUGUUAGCUUAUGCCUCUCCCUCAUAUAAAAUUGCAAUAAUGAUUACUGGUCUAGUUAUCGAUUACCUAGGGACAAAUAAACUUAUUGUGACAAAAAGAUCUCUACUAAGACUAACAUAAUUGUUUCUUUAUCUAAGCAGACCCUAGUUUUUAUUUACCUGUUCUUUAUUUUCUUGCAAACCUAUCCUAUCAUGCCUACAAAGUACUUCUAGUUUCAUACUUGUUCUAGGUAAAGCGAACGUUAAGCGUGCGUAGAGUUCUAUCGGUGGUCGAUAGAACUCUACCUUUAGCUCCUCGUUGGGUUCGACACUCUUACUUGGUGAGAAAGGCUACAAUUGAUCCCCUAUACUUGUUGGUUAUCAAGACCUUUUUCUGGCGCCGUUGUUGGGGAGCAAUAGUGUGGGGUGAAUAUUGUCGUGUGUGUUUGUUUGCCUUAUCACUAAGUAGAUUUUAUUUGUUGUUUAAGUUGUUCUCUAUCUUUAGUUAUGGAUAUGGAACAUGAAAUACCAAAAAAUUAGGUAUACUUGCUACUCAUGGAGAUGGGGAACCUCCUAAAACCCUCGAUGCUCAUUAUGUGGAAGAUAUUAUGCACUACUUUAAUAAACCUGACAAAACCCAUUCAAUUAUAUAAUGAAAGACACGUUGGAUCAACGUGAAUACUUUAUGGAUUAUCGCUUGACUCAAAAAGGGAAAAUGUUAUGGGAUCAAAUUCAUUUGUGGAAAUGGUCUGCUUGGAAUCUAGGCUUGAGAUAUGAUAUUACUUGUUGCUCUAGGAUGAAGACUAAACACCUUCCAUUUUCAUGUAAAUUUAAUGAUAAUGAAACCUUGGUUUCUUAUGCUAAUGGUAUAUAUGAUUACUAUGAUGUGGAACAAAUAGAAGAGUUUGUUGCUUUUAAGAGUGCUUAUGAAAUUGAAGCUUUGUUUGAAAAGUAUGAAGAUUAUGAUGAUGUUGUUUACUGAUCUCAAAAUUUGGCUAUUCUUCGUUAUUGUUAUGCCAAUUAUGAAUAUAAUGCCCAUAUUGAUAGAUUUAUUGAGAAAGUCUCCGCUAUCCAAGAGGAGACUAAUAUUUUGCAGGAAUCUAUGGAAGAAGAAAUUGAUGACACUGUGAGCUCAUUGGAUGAAAAUGAUGAGGAGGAGAGCAAAGAACAAAAGGAGGAAGAGCGGAUUAGCUACCCGUGCCCACCUUCUAAUGAGAGUAACACUUGAACUCAUACAUUGGUUAAUUUCCCUUCGUGCUUACCGAAGGAUGAAUGCUAUGAUCAUUGCUAUGAUCCCUUGGAUUCAUUUGAAAUAUCCCUUUUUGAUGAACUUGAUGCUUGCUAUGCUUGUGGCAUUAUGCCAAUAUGAAUGAUGAUUAUGGAUAUUCACUUGCUAUAGUUCCUUAUGUUAAGAAUGAAAUUGUUGCUAUUGUACCCACACAUGAUAGUCCUAUUAUCUUUUUGAAUUUUCCCAACUACAUUAUAUUGGAGAAGUUUGCACUUAUUAAGGAUUAUUUAGAUGGGUUGCCUUUUACUAUUACACAUGAUGAUUUUGAUAGAUAUAAUAUGCAUGUGCUUGCUGCUCCUACUUGCAAUUAUUAUGAUAGAGGAACUACCUCCACCUCUCUAUGUUUCCAAUACGAUAAAAUUUCAAGAAAUUGUUUAUACUAUGCAUUGGCCUUUACAUUGUGUGCAUGAAUUGUUCUUUUAUGACAUGCCGAUGCAUAGGAAGAGAGUUAGACUUCGUUGUUGUGUGAUACAUGUUAAUUUGUGCUCACUACUAGAUUACAAAUCAAUGUUAAUUAAAAUUGCCUUUGAUAUACCUUGGGAUCCGGGUGGAUCAAUUACUUGAGAACUUUAUGCCUAGCUUAAUGGCUUUAAAAAAAGUGCUGCCAGGGAGUCAACCCGGAAGUUCUAGAGAGUCAUUUUAUUAUGUUGUGUGCUUUUAUAUAGUUUUUCAAAAAACAAAAAAGGAGGGGAACCUAAAACGUUUUCAAAAACAAAAGUGAAAGUGAGAGAGACGAGCAUUGUUAAAAUAGGAGCGUGCCUUGAACUUUGUUCAUGCCCAUGGAAACCUUGUGAAUCUUAAAAACAGGAACUUUUCAACCAAAAUAAUUAUCCCCUUGUAUAAAUCCAUUGUAUUAUAAAAAUAAUGUGCCAAGAUUUUCCUUUAGGAUGAUUAGAUUGCUUGUUUGGUGUGUGCAGUGCAAAAACAGAAACUUUGGCUGUAGUGCGUGAAUUUACAUUUUUACUGCAAUAUCAAAAGUUUGUAAUUUUUUUUUACACAUUACUUAUAUGGAAUUUUUUAUUUCUUCCUAAUUUUUCAGAAAUUUUAGAGUUACGGAAGUACGGUGAAUGUACAGAUUACUACAGACUGUCCUGUUUUUGACAGAUUCUGUUUUUGAUGCAUUGUUUUGCUCGUUUUGAUGAAACCAUCGAUUGUGUCGGUGGUAUAAGCCAUGGAAAAGUUAUAUUACAGUAGAUACUAUGCAAAAACAAAAUAUGAAUUGGUUGGCAACAAUACUUAAAGUUAUAAUUUGCUUCAUUAUUACUAACGGAUCUCACGAGGGUUUUGUUAUGUUUUGUGUGAUUGAAGUUUUCAAGUUUUGGGCGAGAUCACGAUGGAUGAAGGAAUAAGGAGUUGAAAGAGAUUAAGCUUGGGGAUGCCCGAGGCAACCCAAGGUAAUAUUCAAGGACUCCCAAGUAACUAAGCUUGGGGAUGCCCCAGAUGGCAUCCCCUCUUUCUUCUAACAACCAUCGGUAAUUUUACUUGGAGCUAUAUUUUUAUUCGUCAGAUGAUAUGCGUAAAUCUUGGAGCGUUGUGUGCUUUUUAUUUUUAUUUUAAUAAUGCACCAUUCUGGUAUGAGAAAGUCCUCGGUUUAUUUAUAGAAGGCUCUUUGCACCUCACUUAUAUCUUUUGAGUAUGGCUUUAUAGAAUGCUUCAUGUGCUUCACUUAUAUCAUUUGAAGUUUGGAUUGCCUGUUUCACUACACAUAGAAAACAACCAUUUGUAGAAUGCUCUUUUGCUUCACUUAUAUUUGUUAGAGCAUGGGCAUAUCUUUUGUACAAAGAAUUAAACUCUCAUGCUUCACCUAUAUCUAUUUAGAGAGUUAACAGGAGUUGGUCAUUCACAUGGUUAGUCAUAAAAUCCUACAUAAAACAUCUAGAUCACUUAAUAUGAUAUGUUUGAUUCCUUGCAAUAGUUUUGCGAUAUAAAGAUGGUGAUAUUAGAGUCAUGCUAGUGAAUAAUUGUGGAUUGGUAGAAAUAUUUGUGUUAAAGUUUGUGAUUCCCGUAGCAUGCACGUAUGGUGAACCGUUAUGUGAAGAAGUCGGAGCAUGAUUUAUUUAUUGAUUGUUAUCCUUUGUGUGGAGGUCGGGAUCACGCGGUGGUUAAUUCCUACCAACCUUUCCCCUAGGAGUAUGCGUGUAGUACCUUGUUUCCAUGACUAAUAAUUUUUUGCAAUAAGUAUGUGUGUUCUUUAUGACUAAUGUUGAGUGCAUGGAUUAUACUCACUCUUACCCUUCCACAUUUGCUAGCCUCUCUAGUAUCGCACAACUUCCACCGGUGCAUUAAACCCAGCUUCCUCAAAACAGCCAUCCUAUACCUUCGUCAAAAACAGCCAGCAUACCAACCUAUCAUGGCAUUUCCAUAGCCAUUCCGAGAUAUAUUGCCAUGCAACUUUCACCGGUUUGUUUAUUAUGAAACGCACCAUAAUUGUCAUAUUUCUUUCCAUGAUUGUAAGAUAGCUAGCAUGAUGUUUUCAUGGCUUGUCCAUUUUUGAUAUCAUUGCUAUGCUAGAUCAUUGCACAUCCCAGUACACUUUCGGAAGCAUUCAUAUAGAGACAUAUUUUGUUCUAGUAUCGAGUUGUAAUUCUUGAGUUGUAAGUAAAUAAAAGUGUGAUGAUCAUCAUUAUUAGAGCAUUGUCCCAUGUGAGGAAAGGAUGAUGGAAUCUAUGAUUCCCUCACAAGUUGGGAUGAGUCUCCGGACUUCAUGAUAAAUAAAAGAGGCCAAAGAAGCCCAAAAAAAGAGGCCAAAGAAGCCCACCAAAAAAAGGGAGAAAAUAAAAAUAAAUAAAUAAAAAUGAGAGAAAAGAGAGAAGGGGCAAUGCUAAUAUUCCUUUUUCCACACUUGUGCUUCAAAGUAGCACCAUGAUCUUCAUGAUAGAUAGUCUCCUAUAUUAUCACUUUCAUAUACUAGUGGGAAUUUUUCAUUAUAGAACUUGGCUUGUAUAUUCCAAUGGCGGGCUUCCUCAAAUUUCCCUAGGUCUUCGUGAGCAAGGGAGUUGGAUGCACACCCACUUAGUUUUUUAGAUUUCAUACACUUAUAGCUCUAGUGCAUCUGUUGCAUGGCAAUCCCUACUCACUCACAUUGAUAUCUAUUGAGGGGCAUCUCGAUAGCGCGUUGAUACGCCUAUUUGAUGUGAGACUAUCUCUUUCUUUUUGUCUUCUCCACAACCUCCGCCAUAUUCUAUUCCACCUAUAGUGCUAUACCCAUGGAUCACGCUCAUGUAUUGCAUGAAAGUUGGAAAGUUUGAGAAUACUAAAGUAUGAAACAAUUGCUUGGCUAAAACCGAGGUUAUGCAUGAUUUAAUACUUUGAGUGAUGAAGAUGGAGCAUAGCCAGACUAUAUGCUUUUGUAGGGAUAACUUUCUUUUAGCCAUGAUAUUUUGAGAAGACAUGAUUGCUUUAUUAGUAUGCUUGAAGUAUUAUUGUCUUAAUGUCAAAUGAUAGACUAUUGCUAUGAAUCACUCGUGUCUUAAUAUUCAUGCCAUGACUAGAUUAUACGAUGAAGAUUACGCUAGGUAGAAUUCCACAUCAAAAAUUAUUAUUUUUAUCAUCUACCUACUCGAAGACGAGCAUGAAUUAAUCUUUGAGAUGUUGAUACGUCUCCGUCGUAUCUAUAAUUUUUGAUUGUUUCAUGCCAAUACUCUACAACUUUUAUAUACUUUUGGUAACUUUUUAUACUAUUUUUGGGACUAACAUAUUGAUCCAGUGCCGAGUGCCAGUUCCUGUUUGUUGCUUGUUUUUUGUUUCGCAGAAAAUGCAUGUCAAACGAAGUCCAAACGGGAUAAAAACUUACGAAGAAUUUUUUUGGAAUAUAUGUGAAUUUUGGGAAGUGGAAUGAAGAGAAGGCGGUGCCCGAGGGUCCCACAAGCCAUAGGGGUGCGACCUGGGGGUAGGGCGCGCCAAGCUAGCUUGUAGCCACCCCGUAAAGAAGUUGGUGCCCUUAUUUCGCCGCAACAAAGGUAAUAUCCGGAUAAAAAUCGUGUAAAACUUUCAGCUGACUUGGAGUUACGGAUCUCCAAGAAUAUAAGAAACGAUGAAAGGCCAGAAUCUGGAACACGAAAAAACACAGAUACAAAGAGAGCGAUCCAAUCUCGGAGGGGCUCUCGCCCGUCCGCCGCCAUGGAGGCCAAGGACCAGAGAGGAAACCCUCCUUCCAUCUAGGGGGAGUCCAAGGAAGAAGAAGAAGGAGGGGGCCCUCUCUCCCUCUCUCCCGGUGGCACCGGAACGCCAUGAGGCCAUCAUUGUGACGACGAUCUACACCAACAACUUUGCCGCCCUCAUCACCAACUCUCUCCCCCUCUAUGCAGCGGUAUAACACCCCUUCUCCCUGUUGUAAUCUCUACUUAAACAUGGUGCUCAACGCUAUAUAUUAUUUCCCAAUGCUGUAUGGCUAUCCUAUGAUGUUUGGGUAGAUCCAUUUUGUCCUAUGGGUUGAUUGAUGAUCAUAAUUUGUUUGAAUUGCAUAUUUUAUUAUUGGUGAUGUCCUAUAGUGCUCCCCGUGUCGCGCAAGCAUGAGGGAUCCCCGUUGUAGGGUGUUGCAAUGUGUUCAUGAUUUGCCUAUGGUGUGUUGCUUGAGUGACAGAAGCAUAAACCCAAGUAGGUGGGUUGUUGCAUAUGGGAGUAAAGAGGACUUCAUACCUUAUAAUUCUAUGGUUGGGUUUACCUUAAUGAUCUUUACUAGUUGCGGAUGCUUGCUAGAGUUCCAAUUAUAAGUGCAUAUGAUCCAAGUAGAGAAAGUAUGUUAGCUUAUGCCUCUCCCUCAUAUAAAAUUGCAAUAAUUAUUACCGGUCUAGUUACCGAUUGCCUAGGGACAAAUAGCCUUCUUGUGACAAAAAUAUCUCUACUAAGACUAACUUAGUUGUUUAUUUAUCUAAGCAGCCCCUAGUUUUUAUUUACGUGUUCUUUAUUUCCUUGCAAACCUAUCCUAUCACGCCUACAAAGUACUUCUAGUUUCAUACUUGUUCUAGGUAAAGCGAAUGUUAAGCGUGCGUAGAGUUGUAUCAGUGGUCGAUAGAACUUGAGGUAAUACUUGUUCUACCUUUAGCUCCUCGUUGGGUUCGACACUCUUACUUAUCGAGAAAGGCUACAAUUGAUCUGCUAUACUUGUGGGUUAUCACUGAGCCCCCAAGCGUGGAGGUCGUCCUCACUCGGGGCAGGUUUUACCUUUGCAGAAAACAAGUUCGCAACUAAGGAGUGAUUGUUCUGUUCAUCUUGGCAUCCGAGUGGGGGUUGGGAUCUCACUAGGAACCGUUAUAACUUAGGCGAAAGCAGGGUCGCAGCUAAACCCCCGAGCAUGGAGGUCGUCCUCACUCAAGGCCGGUUUUAUCAUAGGCGAAUUAUGGUCGCAACCAAGAUAAGAAGGUAGUUCUUGCAAACUUAAUGAUGGUCAUAUCUACCUUGGUGUCCGAAUGAAGAUCAUGUCCUCAUUCAGAACAGUUUUGACUUAGGUGAACGUGUCUUAGCAUCUGAGCCCCCAAGCGUGGAGGUCGUCCUCACUCGGGGUAGGUUUUACCUUAGGCGAAAACAGGUUCCUGGCUGAGGAGUGAUUGUUAUAUUCAUCUUGGCAUUCAAGUGGGGGUCGGUCCCUCACUCGAAACCGUCUUAACCUUAGGCGUAAGCAGGUUCGCAGCUAAGUCCCCGAGAAUGGACGUCGUCCUCACUCGGGGCCGGUUUUAUGUUAGGCGAAUUCUGGUCGCAACCAAGAUGAGAAGGUAGUUCUUGGGAUCUUAAUGAUGGUCAUGUACAUCUUGGUUCCCGAGUGAAGAUCAUGUCACCAUUCAAAACUGUUUUUGUUGUAAAUAUGCCCUAGAGGCAAUAAUAAAUUGGUUAUUAUUAUAUUUCCUUGUUCACGAUAAUCGUUUAUUAUCCAUGCUAGAAUUGUAUUGAUUGCAAACUCAGAUACAUGUGAGGAUACAUAGACAACACACUGUCCCUAGUGAGCCUCUGGAGGAUUAGCUCGUUGAGAAAAUAUGGUCAAGGUUUCCUGGCCAUAGACAUGAGAUGUUGUUUGAUAACGGGAUCACAUCAUUAGGAGAAUGAUGUGGCGGACAAGACCCAAACCAUGAAUGUAGCAUGUGAUCGUGUCAGUUUAUUGCUACUAUUUUCUGAAUGUCAAGUAUCUCUUUCUAUGACCAUGUGAACAUGAAACUCUCGGGCACCAGAGGAAUACCUUGUGUGUAUCAAACGCUGCAAUGUAACUGGGUGACUAUAAAGGGGCUCUAAAGGUAUCUCAGAGGGUGUUUGUUGGGUUGGUGUGAAUCAAGACUAGGAUUUGUCACUCCUUGUGAUAGAGAGGUAUCUCAGGUCCCACUCGGUAAUAAAAACAUCACAACAAGCUUGCAAGCAAUGUGUCUAAGGACUUAGUCACGGGAUAUUGUAUUACAGAACGAGUAAAUAGACUUGCCGGUAACGAGAUUGAGGUAGGUAUGGAGAUACCGAUGAUCGAAUCUCAGGCAAGUAACAUACCGAUAGACAAAGGGAAUUGUAUACGGGAUUGAUUGAAUCCUUGACAUCGUGGUUCGACCGAUAAAUAUCUUUGUAAAAUAUGUAGGAGCCAAUAUGGACAUCCAGGUCCCGCUAUUGGUUAUUGUUCGGAGAGUGUCUCGGUCAUGUCUGCAUAGUUCUCGAACCCGCGGGGUCUGCACACUUAAGGUUCGGUGAUGAUUUGGUAUUAGUGAGUUAUGUUUGAUGGUAACAGAAUGUUGUUCUGUUUCCCGGAUGAGAUUUCGGACGCCACGAGGAGCUCCGGGAUGGUCCGGAGAUAAAGAUUUAUAUAUGGGAAGUCAGAUUUUAGCUACCAAAAAAGUUUGAGGUUAUUCCGGUAUUGUACCGAGAAGCUUCUAGAAGGUUCUGAAAACUUUCGGAGGAGUCCGGAAGUCCACAAAGGGUUCUCCCACGUCCCAAGGGUUUGGAUGGGCUGAGGAGAGACAUCGUGGCCUUUUUCGGCCAAGCGCACAAGUCCCUCAAGGCCCAUGUAGUUGGGAAAGGUGGAAAGUCCACCUUUGUAUGGAAGGGAAGGAGGGGGACUAGGAUUCCACCUCCUCCACCCUUGGAUGCGCCCUAGGGCUUGGAGGGGCUGUUCCCCACGCCCUACACAUAUAUGUAGAGGGGAGGGGGCGCCCCAAGAGGACACACGAAGCCCUUGGCGCCCCUCUCUCUUCCUAGAUCGUUUUCUCCUCCGUUCGCGGUUUCGGUAGCGCUAGGCGUAGCCCUGCCGGGAUAGCACCACCACCACCGCCACCAUGUUGUGGUGUUGCCGGAGAACUCAUCUACCUCUCCGUCCUUGCUUGCUAGAUCAAGGAGGUGGAGAACGUCAUCGAGUUGUACCUAUGCUGAACGCGGAGGUAUCGCCCGUUCAACACUAGAUCGGGAUGGAUCAUGAUGUGAUCACGGGACGGAUUGCUAUUUGGAUCGCGAAGAUGUUUGACUACAUCAACCACAUUAUAUAUGCUUCUCCUUAGCGGUCUACAAGGGUAUGUGCAUCCGAUCUCUCCUAUUGUAGAUGCUCAUCACCAUGGAUAGAUCUUGUGUGUGUGUAUGAAAUUUUUUGUUUCCCAUGCAAUGUUCCCCGAAAGUGGCAUCAUGAGCUAGGUCUAUGCAUAGAUGACAUCUCGAGGUGAACACAAAGGAGUUUGUGGGCGUUGAUAUUCAGAUUGCUUCCGUCCUUAGUCUUUUCUUGAUUUGGCGGUAUUGUUGGAUGAAGCGUCCCGGACCAACAUUACUCGUACGCUUACGAGAGACCGGUUCCAUCGACUGACAUGCAACUUGUUGCAUAAAGAUGGCUGGCGGGUGUCUAUUUCUCCUACUUUAGUUGAAUCGGAUUUGACAGAAGCGGUCCUCGGAGAAGGUUAAAUAGCAACUUGUGUAUUACCAUUGUGGUUUUGGGUAAGUCAGAUGCGAUCAUGCUAGAUACCCAUAGAAGCCACGUAAAACAUGCAACAACAAAUUAGAGGAUGUCUAACUUGUUUUUGCAGGGUACGUUGUAAUAUGAUAUGGCCAAAGACAUGAUAUGAUAUAUUUGAUGUAUGAGAUGACCAUGUUGUAAUAGUUAAAUAUCGACUUGCACGUCGAUGCUACGACAACCAGCAUGAGCCAUAGGGUUGUCUUUAACUAUUUUUGCGCCCAAUGAUGCUUUACUUUAUCGCUAGUACGAUAGCUUUAGUAUUAACAACAUAGGUGGUGCGGCGACCUCGAUGGCAGCACAAUGAUGGAGAUCAUGGUGUGGCGCCAGUGAUGAUGGAGUUCACGCCGGUGCUAUGGUGAUGGAGAUCAAGAAGCACAAGUUCAUGGCCAUAUCAUGUCACUUAUGAUUUGCAUGUGAUGUUAAUCCUUUUAUGCACCUUAUUUUGCUUAGCACGAUGGUAGCAUUAUAAGGUGAUCCCUCACUAAAAUUUCAAGAUAAAAUUGUGUUCUCCCCGAGUGUGCACCGUUGCGACAGUUUGUUGUUUAGAGACACCACGUGAUGAUCGGGUGUGACAGACUCUACGUUCACAUACAACGGGUGCAAAAUAGUUGCACACGCGGAACACUCGGGUUAAACUUGACGAGCCUAGCAUGUACAGACAUAGCCUCGGAGCACAAGAGACCGAAAUGUUGAACAUGAGUCAUAUAGUAGAUAUGAUCAACAUAGAGAUGUUCACCAUUGAAGCUAACUCAACUAACAUGAUGAUCGGACUUGAGUUAGUGAAUUUGGAUCAUGUCUCACUUGAAUGACUAGAGGGAUGUCAAUUUGAGUGGGAGUUCUUAAGUAAUAUGAUUAAUUGAACUUAUUAUCAUGAACAUAGUCAAUAUGUCUUUGCAAAUUAUGUUGUAGCUUCCGCUGUAGCUCCACUGUUUUUUAUAUGUUCCUAGAGAAAACUUAGUUGAAAGAUGAUAGUACCAAUUAUGAGGACUCGAUCCAUAAACUGAGGAUUGUCCUCAUGACUUCAUAGAAGGCUUAUGUCCUUAAUGCACCGCUUGGUGUGCUACCCCUAAGAAUCGUAUGUGGAUGUUGUGAACAUCUCACAUGCAUGUUUUGAUGACUACGUGAUAGUUAAGUGCGUAAUGCUUAACAGCUUAGAAUUGAGGAGCCAAGACGUUUUUGAACGUCACGGAACAUAUAAGAUGUUCCAAGAGCUGAGAUUUGGAUUUUAGGCUCGUGCCCGUGUGGAGAGGUAUGAGACCUCCGACAAGAUUCUUUGUCUACGAAGUAAUGAGCAUGUGCUCAGAUUGUCUGAGUACUACAGUCGCUUGAAUCGAGUGGGAGUUGAUCUUCGUGAUAAGAUAGUGAUUGACAUAGUUCUCCAAAGUAACUCCCACCAAGCUACUGGAGCUUCGUGAUGAACUAUAGCAUAUCAGGGAUACACAAGAUGAUCCUUGAGUUAUUCGCGAUAUUUGACACCGCGAAAGUAGAAAUCAAGUAGGAGCAUCGAUUGUUGAUGGUUAGUAAAACCACUAGUUUCAAGAAGGGCAAAGGGCAAGAAGGGAUACUUCAUGAAUGGAAAACAUGUUGCCACUCUAGUAAAGAAACCCAAGGUUGAAUCCAGACCUGAGACUAAGUGCUUAUGUGAUGAGGGGAACGGUCACUGAAGCGGAACUACCCAAGCUACUUGGUAGAUAAGAAGGCUGGCAUAGUCGACGGAAGUAUGUUGGAUAUACGUGAUAUUGAUGUGUACCUUGCUAGUACUCCUAGUAGCACUGUGGUAUUAGAUACCGGUUUAGUUGCUAAGUGUUAGUAACUCGAAAUUAUAGCUAUAGAAUAAAUGACUAGUAGCAAGGGGUGAUGUGACGAUGUGUGUUGGAAGUAAUUCCAAGGUUGAUGUGAUCAAACAUCACACGCUCCCUCUACCAUCAGGAUUAGUGUUGAACCUAAAUAAUUUUUAUUUGGUAUUUGCGUUGAACAUAGACAUGAUUAGAUUGUGUUAAUUGCAAUACAAUUAUUCAUUUAAAGAGAAUAAUAGUUACUCUGUUUAAUUGAAUAAUACCUUCAAUGGUCUUGCACCUAAAAUGAAUGGUUUAUUGAAUCUCGAUCGUAGUGAUACACAUGCUCAUAAAAUUGAUGCCAAAAGAUACGAAGUAGUAAUGAUAGUACCACUUACUAGUGGUACUGUCGCCUGAGUCAUAUUAGUAUAAACACAUGAAGAAACUCCAUGCAGAUGGAUUGUUUAGACUUAGUUGAUUUUGAAUCACUUGAGACAUGCAAAUCAUGCCACAUGGGCAAGAUGACUGAAGGCCUCGUUUUCAGUGAGAUGGAACGAGUAAGUGACUUGUUGGAAAUAAUACAUAUUGAUGUAUGCAAUCCAAUGAGUGCUGAGGCACGCAGUGGAUAUCAUUAUGUUAUUACUUCACUCAUGAUUUGAUUAGAUACCCGAGUAUUUUCUUGAUGAAUUACAAGUCUGAAAUAUUGAAAAGUUCAAGCAAUUUCAGAGUGAAGUUGAAGAUUGUUGUGACAAGAGGAUAAUAUGUCUACGAUGUGAUCAUGGAGAUAAAUAUAUAUCCGAGUUGCGAUUUUGGUAAACAUUUAAGACACUGUGAAAAUUGUUUCACAACUCAUGCCACCUGGAACACCAUAGUGUGAUGGUGUGUCCGAACGUCAUAGCCGCGCCCUAUUCGAUAUGGUGCAUAAUAUGAUGUCUCCUAUCGAAUUACCACUACCAAUUUUUGGUUAGGAAUUAGAGACAACCGCAUGCACUUUAAAUAGGGUGUCAGAUUUCGGGCUCUGCAAAACCUUAAAGAUUCGUAACCAGGGGUGCGCAUGGAGACCACUGGGCAGUUUCGGUUCACCCGACUCUCUACUCGAUGAACAAGGCAAAGAACUCACUCAAUGGUGAGGGAGACACAAGACACGACAGUUUACCCAGGUACAGGCCGCUGGGAAGCGUAAUACCCUACUCCUGCUUUGGUUGAUUGCCUCUCGUUGAGGUUGGCAGAUGAACUAGUCCAAUGCUCGUGAGCCUCCGGAGGCUGGGUGGUUAUGUGUGAGGCCCGUGGGUGAUUCAAUGGAUCGAUCCACCUUCUACAGAGCAAUCUAUCCUCUAUAUAUAGUGGCGGCCCGGGUCCUCUUCCUGUAUCGCUUCGGCUGGAAGGGAUCCCACAAUGGCCAAUUUUAACGGGGGACACUGGAACGUGGUUCCCUACCCCAAAGGUGGUCUUUGCGUGCAAAAGUGGCUGAUGGCCGAGCAGGGACGGGCCGAGGGGUGACGUCCGUCCAACCGACGGGCAGCGAUGGCCUUGUUGUACCAGAAUGGAAACCUUUGAGAGAUGCCUUCGGAACCCGCGUACGUCCUUCCCUCCUUUGCACGAAAGGGGAAACUGCACCGUCCUGCAAUCCGCUUCUCGGACAUCCCUUCUCCGCAUCAUCCAUGACUCCUGAGGUUGGGCCUUGCCUCGGUAUCUCUACCGCUCCAGAGGGGUCCUAAGGAGGCCCCAUGUGGGUCUUUAAGCUGCUCCUCCUCGCCAGGCUUGGACCCUCGCGAGGGUCUUGCCUUGAGGGGCGUCGGGCCUGUUGGUUUUGGUCGAUGAAGUGGGCCAGCCCUGCCCCAUAGGCAGGCAGGUCUGGGUACCCCCACUUCCAGAACACCGACAGUAGCCCCCGGGCCCAAGGCGCGCCUGGGCUAGCUUCUCGGCGAAGCCUUGAGGGCGGUUUGAAGCAUCACGGGACCUAUUUGCCUGUGCGGUAGGCGGCACACGUGUCCGGCAACCAUGUGGGGAAGCUUCCAGUUCCCAAGACGCUCGGAGAAACACGUGGUCAAACUGAUGGGACGCCCGGGUGCUGCGCCAGCCAUCAUUGCGCCUUGGAGGCGCCUCCUCUUUGCACGCCACGUGGGCGCGCUCCCACAUGAACUACGUGGUCCCAAGAACACGGAGGGGCACCAGUGUGCCAUUGGCUGUAUAUUUAACCUGGCGAGGGUGAUAAGGUUUGCAUUGCCUUCGCUUUCCCCAUCUCCUGCCUCGAGCCUUCCACCCUCUCAGCAUGGUGCCGGUGAGGAGGUUCUCCGCUACAGAGAAGGGGAAGGUUUCGCCGCCCUGCCAUCCAAGAGGGGUCGUGGCCGCCCUCGGAAGUACAUGGUGGUGACGAUGGCCGCCUCCGACGAGCGCGGCCGUGGUUCUGCCCGUCCUGGGAUCACCAUCAGCGGUGUCGGUGGGGAGCCGAUGAGCGUGAGCACGUGCGGUGGCCGAGGUGGGAGGUCGGCGGUGGCCUCCCGGCCGCCACGCCCGCAGCUCCAUUCAAACGACACGGUGACGGAGUUCGUGAUGUGGGUGGAUAUGCCAGAAACUACCUGGCUCCAGCUCCCAAGCUUCUUCGCGAAGGCGCUGCCGACCGACGGGCUCCCACGCCUCUGUUUGCAGGCCGAUGGCUGCUGCGACGGGGCGUCCUGGGUGGAGGUCGAGGUCACCCCCGUGGCUACGUGUACCUAAACUGCGGGUGGCAGACGUUCGCCCGCGCUCGGGGCCUGAAGGGGAGGUGCUACCUCCACUUCAAGUUUGACGGGGAAUCGACGAUCUUCGUCAAGAUCUUCGGGGAUGAGGGUGAGCGUCUGAGCUGCUGCCCAGAGGACGUUGGCCGCCACAGUCCUAUAGAUGAGCCAAUCUCCGACGGCAUGCGUCGUACCUCCAGCAGAAGCGACACCUCCUCCGAAGGAAGCCCGAGCGACAGCAGCUACGACGAGCCACCUUGUUGUCGCGCUCGAGCCACGGUAGGGAGCCCCAAGCGUGGCGCCACUCGUCUGCUCCCGUGGCACCUGUGAAGGAGGACGACGACGCGGACUAAGCGUCGGCGCAUAGGCGUCGGGCAUCUGCGGCGGCAGCUCUCCCCCCUUUGGGGCCGCCAUCGCUGGCUGUUUCCUCCAUACUCCUAAUCCUGCAUCCAUGAAAACAAGGAUAGGCCCUUUCGGAAUGUAAUGGAUUUAGGUGACCACCCCUUUUGUUAGUACUGUUGCAUCUGAUCGGUUUGGAUACAUAGCUUGGCGUGCUUGCGAUGGAUCUCUUUGGUUGUGAGGCGUGAUUGUGGCGCCCGAGGGGCUUGUUGCUCAGUUGGCUUCUCCUUGUUGCGGGUGAAGUGGGUCGAUGCUGUAUCUCAGCAGGUCCCAGUCCCGCACAUUUUCCUGCCGCCGUGAGGCAUGACCCGUUACCAAGGUCGCUCCUCAUGGGGCAAGACCCUGACCCCCGUGAUACCGAUCGAAUGCGCCUGAACGGCGCCAGGGUGGCCAAGUGGCUUUGCGACCGAUUAGGCUCCUGAGGCGUGAUGCUCAAGAGCCCCCUUAGACAUUCAAGCGACUCUACGUCGACAGGUCCCAGUCCCGCACAUUUCCCUGCCGUGAGGCACGACCCGUUAAGGUCGCACCUCACGGGACAAGGCCCUGGCACCCGGGUGCCAAGUGACUUUGUGACCGGUAAGGCUCUUGAGGCGCGAUGCUCAUGAGCCCCCUGAGACGUUCAAGAGGCCCUCGUGGAUUUUUCUUUCUGCAUUUGAAGGGUCAGGUUUUUGGAGUUCCUUAGCCUGCAUUCAAGAAGCUCUGCGUCAGCAGGUCCCAGUACCGCACAUCUCCGUGCCGUUGUGAGGCACGACCCAUUACCAAGGUCGUUCCUCAUGGGGCAAGGCCCUGGCACCAGCGUGCCAAGUGGCUUUGUGACCGGUAAGGGUCCUGAGGCGCGAUGCUCAGGAGCCCCCUUAGGCGCUGAAGCUGUCCCAAGAGAAACGACUGUUGUAAGAAAAGACAAAAUAUUGUUCCCUCUCCAGGAUGGUGAGCCGAGCCGUGAAUGGGACUCUUGAGCGAGUAUCAGAUGGCAUGAGUCUACCGACUCGCCCGUGAGUGCCCCGCGAGGGUCCGGGCGCCAAGGCCUUGGCGAGGUGCUGGCAUCGUGCCCCUAGCCCCCGCUCGCAGGGUACGAGCGGGUGGGGACAGGCAAAUGCUUGACUCAGAGGAAGAGAGCGUGUUUGAAGAACGACCAAGAAAACAGGUUUUCAUAAAGACUUCAUUUGGAAAGGCCCCGAGUUUGAUUUUGUAAACAUCAACAAAUCCAAGCCAGAAAAAGCAAAUUAAAGCCGUGUCCGGCACCUAAUCUGUUCACCGCCUCCGUCUCCCCCCAGUGCUGAGCAAAUGUCUUCCACUAAGCGCGGGAUGGACCCCUUCCGCGUCCUCGGGGGGACCUGGGCGUAUACAACCUUGGCUAGUUAUUACGUGAGAGUGUCACGGUGGGGGUGUAUCUGGGAGGUCACGAGGACGCUUUGGCCUCGCGGGUGUCCCUACCCCCGAGGCAUUGGGGCCUGAGCUUCGGGAGUCAUUGGUGGACUGUGUUGAUUGCCUCCAUCUGUACCCAGCACGGAGCAUAGGUCUUCCACUAGGCGUGGGGUGGACUCCUUCCGCGUCCUCGGGGGGGGGGGGGGCUGGGCGUAUACAACCUCAGCUCAUUAUUAUGUGACAGUGUCAUGAGAUGAAGUAGGUUCUGGAAGGAUUGAAGGACGAUGCAGAGUCAGUGCAGAGUCGAUGCAGGGUUGAUGCAGAGGCGUUACGGGUAGAACUUCCGAAGAUGUUGGAUGUUCCAGGCGUUCUAGAUGGGAACUCCGUCCUGAGUCUCCAGGCACACGGCGCCAGGCGUGGAGACAUGGGCGACCCUGAAUGGGCCCUCCCACAUGGGCUAGAGCUUAUGCAAUCCCUCCCUAGAUUGUACCCGCCUUAGGACGAGGUCGCCGACCUCAAGGGUCCUGUAGCGGAUGUUGUGGCAGUGACAGCGCCGCAGGUCCUGCUCGUACCUCACGACUCGGAGUGAGGCCCGGCGGCGCGCCUCCUCCACAAGCACAUGAUCCGUCCCCGAGCAGCCUCCUGUCGCUCCUCAUCGAACACCAUGACCCGCGGGGACCGGUGCUUGAUCUCGUGGGGUAGGACCGCCUCCGCUCCUUAGACGAGGAAGAAAGGGGUUUCUCUAGUGGGCUUAGUCGUGGUGGUGCGGAUGUACCACAACACCGACGGAAGCUCCUCGACCCAGCCCCAGCCGCAAGAUUCGAGCUUUUUCCUGAAGUUCCUCACCUUGAGGCCUCGUAGGACCUCUGCAUUGGCGCGCUCUGCCUGGCCAUUGCUCCGCGGGUGGGCCACCGAUGCGUAGCAUAUAUGCAUUCCUAGGUUAGCACAGUAAAUCUUGAAGAGUUGACUGGUGAACUGCAAACCGUUGUCAAUGAUGAUGCGGUUGGGGACGCCGAAGCGGCUCACGAGGCCCUUGAUAAAUUUGACGGCCGACCUGGCGGGGAUGGUGCGCACGGUCUCCACCUCGAUCCACUUGGUGAAUUUGUCGAUGGUGACGUAGACGUAGUGGAAGCCGCCCGCUUCCCGCGAGAAGGGCCCCAGUAUAUCCAGUCCCCAGACCGCGAAGCCCCAGGAGAGCGGAAUGGUCUGGAGGCCCUGCGCGGGCUGGUGAAUGUGCUUGGCGUGGAACUGGCAGGCCUUGCAAGAUCGAACCAGCUCGGUGCCGUCGUCCAACGCUAUAGGCCAGUAGAAACCCGCGAGCGUGCAGGAAGAGGAGUGAUGCCCGCAGUCCCCUCCGUGGAUGUCGGCCAAUAGUUUGCGCCCUUGCUCCUUGGAAAUGCAUCGCAGCGCGAUGUCAUUCGGGCACCUACGGUACAGGGCGUCGUCCCGUAUGUAGAAGGUUGAGGCGUGUCGUGCUACGCGCUCCGCAUCUUCCUCCUUCUCCGGUAAUGUGCCAUGGAGCAGGUACGCCCCAAGUUUCUGCAUCCAAUCAUCGGCCUGAACCUCCAAGUCGAGGAGCAACCGAGCCCCCAAGGCCUGGCCGCAAUCCGGAGCCCCCGAAGGCUGUGCUGGGGGGAGCUCCUCUCCGUGUGGCGCCGUGUCCUCAGGUGACGGCGUCGCGGAAAGCUUGAAGAGUCGCUCCUCGAAGACGCCUGGCUCUUGAGCCUCGUGACGCGAAGCUCUUUUGGCGAUGUCGUCCGCCUCCUUGUUUUCGCCACGUGGGAUGUGUUGAAGCUCCAGGCCCUGAAAACGUUUCUCAAUCUUACGUAACUCUUGUAGAUAUGCCUCCAUGUGCCCGUCCUUGGGCGUGUACUCUUUGUUGGAGAAGUUGACGAGAAGAUAGGAGUCGCCCAUCACGGUGAGGCGCCGGACCCCCAAGGCCGCCACUGCCUUGAGGCCGGCAAUGAGGCCCUCGUACUCCGCUAUGUUGUUGGAGACCUUCUCCCCAAGCUGGAAGAAGAGCUGUACGGUGUAGUGGACCUUGUCUCCCCUCGGGGAAGUGAGCAGGACACUAGCCCCUGCUCCUCUUUGCGUGAAGGCUCCGUUGAAGUGAAUGGUCCAUCCCUCGGGUGCCUCCACACCGGGGGCAAGGGAUUGGCUCCCUUCUAGCCCCCAGUCCGGUGCAUCCGUUCAAUCCACCACGAAGUCAUCCAGGGUCGCUCCCUUGAUGACCCUGGUCAUGCUGAAUUCGAUGUUGAAGGCCUGAAGCUCGAUGUUCCAUUCGGUGACCCUUCCCGCCGCAUUUGGGUUGUGCAGGAUCUUCUCUAAGGGGUAGGCGGAGACGACCUUGAUCGGGUGUCCCUGAAAGUAAUGACGCAGCUUGCACGAGGCAACGAGGAGCGCUUGAAGGAGUUUCUACUGCAUGGGGUAGUGCAAGCGCGCGUCCCGCAGUACCGUGCUGACGAAGUACAAUGGGUGCUCAACGAGGGUGCGCCCGCCCGUGGCUUCAUGCUCGUCGGCGGAUUCAGGCGGCUGGGGUGUCUCGUCGUCUGGAGGGAGGACUGGGGCCUCGGGAGGGCUAGGCAUCGCAGGACGCGAUCCUGCAAUCUGGGCCUAAGGUCCCUUUUCCCGCGGGGGAGUUGGAGCUCGUGAGUCAUGCGAGCCCCCACACUCUGCGGGUGGGGGCCCGCAGCCCCCCCCGAAGUUACGCCCUUGCUGGUUUGCUCCUCCCUUACUACCACCAAUGCGGCGCUGGCGGAGUGGGGGGUGGCAGCAAGGUAUAGAAGCAGGGACUCCCGAGGGCGAGGUGCUACCAUGAUCGAUGGGGUGGUGAGGUAUUGCUUGAGUUCAUCGAAGGCGGCGUCGGCCUCCGGGGUCCACUCGAAGGCCCCCUUUCUUUUCAUGAUCUUGAAGAAAGGCAGGGCUCGCACCGAGCUUGGAGAUGAAACGCCCCAAGGAGGCAACACACCCCGCCAACUUCUGCAUCUCCUUGAGCGUUGUGGGUGCGCUCAUCUUGUUUAUGGCAUUGACCUUUACUGGGUUUGCCUCGAUCCCAAGGUGUGACACGAGAAAAUCGAGCAGCUUGCCCGAUGGGACCCCGAAGAUGCACUUCUCGGGGUUGAGCUUUAGGUUCACCUCUCAAAGGCUGGCGAAGGUCUCCUCCAGGUCCUCCACCAGGGUUUUUGCAUGUCUUGACAUGACCAUAAUGUCGUCGACGUAAGCCUCUGCGUUCCUCCUGAGUUGCGGUCCCAGGGCGAUAUGCAUCAGUCGCUGGAAGGUUGCCCCGACAUUCCGCAGCCCGAAAGGCAUGCACUCGUAGCAGUAUACCCCACACAGAGAGAGGAAGGUUGUCUUCUCGACGUCCUCCACCGCCAUCUUAAUCUCGUGGUAGCCCGAGAAUGCAUCCAGGAAGCAAAGGAGUUUGCACUCCGUGGAGGAGUCCACGAUCUGGUCGAUGCGUGGUAGCAAGAACAGGUCCUGAGGUCAAGCCUUGUUGAGGUUUGUGAAGUCGACGUACAUGCACUCCUUCCCGCACUUCUUCUGGACAACCACAGGGUUGGCCACCCAUUCUGGGUAGCGCACCUCCCGAAUGACCCCUGCCUCCUGUAGUUUGCGCACCUCCUGAGCGAUGAACGCCUGCUUUUCCGGGGCUUGCCUCCUUGCCUUCUGCUUCACUGGGCGUGCGUUCGGGCACACCAUGAGGUGGUGCUCAAUGACGUCCGUCGGGACCCCCCCAGGUCGGAGGUGCUCCAGGCGAACGCGUCGUUGUUCGCCAUGAGGAAACCCACCAAUGUCGCCUCUUGGUCUUGAGGAAGGUUUGCGCCGAUGGUGAAGGUGGGAGCCGAGCUUCCUUCAUUCACCGGAACUUGCUUCGUCUUUGCCCGGUCCUGGGAGAACAACUGCUUCUUCUUCACGGGCGCGAUGUCGUGGGCGUCACCUGGGUCCUCCGCGGCGUGUGCCUCGCCCCCGAGGUUGGUACGCGCCACGUCCACGGCCUUGUGGCAAAGCUCGAGCACCCGUGAGGCGUCCUUGACGUCCCCCACGAUGGUGAGCAUGCCCCCGCUCCCAGGCAUCUUGACGAUGUUGUACCGUGGGUGCGUUGCCGCCAUGAACUGCGCGAGGGCAGGGUAGCCGAGUAUUGCGUUCUAUGGAAGGUGGAUGUGGGAAACGUCGGAGUCGAUCUGCUCGGUUCGGAAGUUGGAGCGGGUGCCGAAGGUGAUGGGGAGGGAAAUUCGUCCCAUAGGGGCGACAGAUCCUGCCACCACCUUGGAGACGGGCUUUGAGGGCGCAAGCCGCUCCCGGGCAACCGCAGCUCGUCAAAGGCCUCCACUGAGAUGACGUUGAGGCCCGCGCUGCCGUUGAUGAGGGUCUUGGAAAUGGCCAUGCCGGAUAUGGUCGACAAUGCACAACAUGGGAAGUGUACGAGCGGCCGUCGCGGAGUUGGGGUGAUCAUAGGGAACGAAGGUGAUGUUGACCUCCGGCCAUAUGCGGUGUUCUGCGUCCUUGGGCCUUGGAUGAGCCCCCCCCCCCCGGCGCGUUGAUGGGAACGCUUGAUGUGACGACCGGAAGAUGGCGCCUGUGAUUCGCCGAGGAUGCAGGCGACAACGGGGGCGGCCCUGCUCGUCCGGGCACUGCCCACCGCGAGGACCAGCGACUGACGGUGGUCGCGCUUUCCAUGGAGUUGUCGAGUCGAGAUCUGGGUCUUGUUGUUGGUGUGGAGGCUCCGACGCGCACCCCCUACCUGGCGCGCCAAAUGUCAGAUUUCGGGCUCCGCAAAACCCUACAGAUUUUUAACCAGGGGUACGCACGGAGACCACUGGGUAGCUUCGGUUCACCCGACUCACUACUCGACGGACAAGGCAAAGAACUCACGUGAUGGUGAGGAAGACACAAGACACUACAAUUUACUCAUGUUUGGGCCACUGGGAAGCGUAAUACCCUACUCCUUCUUUGGUGGAUUGCCUCUUGUGGAGGUUGGCGGAUGAACUAGUACAAUGCUCGUAAGCCUCCCAAGGCUGGGUGGUUAUGUGUGAGGCACGUGGAUGAGUCGAUGGAUUGGAUCCCCCUUCUAUGGAGCAACCUAUCCACUAUAUAUAGUGGCGGCCCGGGUCCUCUUCCCUUACCACUUCGGCGGGAAGGGAUCCCACAAUGGCCAAUUUUAACGCGGGACAAUGGAACAUGGUUCCCUGCCCCAAAGGUGGUCUUUGCCUGCUAAAGUGGCUGACGGCCCAGCAGGGACAGGCCCAGGGGUGACGUCUGUCCUGCCGGCGGGCGGCGAUGUCCUUGUUGCAGCAGAGUGGAAAACUUUGAGAGAUGCCUUAGGAACCCACGUACGUCCUUCCCUCCUUUGCACGAAAGGGGAAACUGCACCGUCCUGUAAUCUGCUGCUUGCCUAUCCCUUCUCCGCGUCAUCCUUGACUCCUGAGGCUGGGCCUUGCCUCGGUGUCGUGGCUUUGUCACGGCAGAUGUCCUCAUGAAAGGACUUAAAGAUGGAGCCAUCGGACCUUGGUGGCGACUCGAAGGGGCUGAGCGAAAGCGAGACUCAGAUUUACCCAGGUUCGGCCCCUCGUGAGGAGGUAAAAUCCUACGUCCUGCUUUGUGUGGAUUAAUGGUGGUUUUGAUUACAAGGAGGGCGUAACUCGCCUGACGUAGCUCUUGAAUCUCUCUAACUCGCCUGACCUUUCCCCGGGACUCGCCUUUAUAUACAGGUCGAGGCCCUAGGUUUUACAAAGUCCUGCCAUGCUACUGUUUGUGGCUUUCCUUAUCUCUAAGUCGCCGUGUCCUCCACGAUCAGGAGCUCUCUUGGUAAUCCAUCAUCCGCAUGACCUCUUGAACCGCCAUCCAGCUUUUGGGCCACGGGACAUGCAUUCAAUGGUAAGUCGCCCCUUUGAUGACCCUGCCCACUAAGGGCGGGUUAUCCGUAGGUAAUAUCCCCAACACUUGGUAUCUCCGCCGCUCCGGAGGGGCCCCGAGGAGGCCCCCUGCGGGUCUUUAAGAUUCUCCUCCACGCGAGGCUUGGACCCUCACGGGGAUCUUGCUUUGAGGGGCGUCGCGCCUGUUGGUUUUGGUCGAUGAAGUAGGCCAGCACCCCCCCCCCCCCCGCAGGCAGGCAGGUCUGGUACCCCCAUUCCCAGAACGCCGACAUAGGGCACCACAUAAUUCCAUUGAGAUGACACCGUAUGAACUAUGGUUUGGAGAAACCUAAGAUGUCGUUUCUUAAAAGUUUGGGGCUGCGAUGCUUAUGUGAAAAAGUUUCAUCCUGAUAAGCUCGAACCCAAAGCGGUUAAAUGCAUCUUCAUAGGAUACCUAAAACAGUUGGGAAUACCUCCUAUCUCAUAUCCAAAAGCAAAGUGUUUGUUUCCAGAAAAGGGUCCUUUCUCGAGAAAAGGUUUCUCUCAAAAUAAUUGAGUGGGAGGAUGGUGGAAACUUGAUGAGGUUAUUGAACCAUCACUUCAACUAAUGAGUAGCAACGCGUAGGAAAUUGUUCAGGUAGCUCCUACACCAGUUGAAGUGGAAGCUGACGAUGUUGAUCAUAAAGCUUCGGAUCAAGUUACAACCAAACCUCGUAAGUCGACAAGGAUGCGUACUGCUCCAGAGUGGUACAAUAAUCCUGUCUUGGAGGUCAUGUUGCUGGACAAUAAUGAAACUACGAGCUAUGGAGAAGCGAUCGUGGGCCUGGAUUCUGACGAAUGGCGGAAGGCCAUGAAAUCCGAGAUAGGAUCCAUGUAUAAAAACAAAGUGUAUACUUAAGAAGAACUACUUGAUGGCCGUAAGGCUGUUAGGUACAGACGGAUUUUUAAAAGGAAGACGGACGAUGAUGGUAAAUGUCACCAUUAAGAAAGCUCGACUUGUCGCAAAGAUGUUUUCGACAAGUUCAAGGAGUUGACUACGACGAGACUUCCUCACCCAUAGCGAUGCUAAAUUCUAUUGGAAUUAUGUUAGCAAUUGCUGCAUUAUUUAUGAUGAAAUAUUGCACAUAGGAUAUCAAAACAUUGUUUCCUCGACGGUUUCCCUGAGGAAAGGUUGUAUGCGAUACAACCAAAAGGUUUUGUCGAUCAUAAGUAUGCUAAUAAGUAUGCAAGCUUUAGCGAUCCUUCGAUGGACUAGAGCAAGCAUCUCGAAGUUGGAAUAUACGCUUUGAUGAGAUGAUCAAAGUUUUUGGGUCUAUACAAGAUUUAUGAGAAACUUGUAUUUCCAAGAAAGUGAGUGGGAACACUAUAGAAUUUCUGAUGAGAAUAUGUAGUUGACAUAUAAUUGAUCGGAUAUGAUGUAGAAUUUCUGGAAAGCAUAAAGGGUUGUUUGAAAGGAGUUUUUCAAAGGAAAACCUAGAUUAAGCUAUUGAACAUUGAGCAUUAAGAUCUAUAAAGAUAGAUCAAGACGCUAGAUGAAAACUUUCAAUAAAUACAUACCUUGACAAGAUAUUUUUGAAGGAGUUCAAAAUGGAUCGGUCAAAGAAGGAGUUCAUGGCUGUGCUGUAAGGUGUGAAUUUGAGUAAGACUCAAAUCUCGACCACAACAGAAGAAAGAGAAAGGACUAAGGUCGUCACCUAUGCUUUAGUCGUAGGCUCUAUAGUAUGACAUGAUGUGUACCGCACCUAUUGUGUGCCUUGCCAUGAGUCCGCCAAGGGGUACAAAGAGUAAUCCAGGAACGAAUCACUAAACAACGGUCAAAGUUAUCCUUAGUAACUAGUGGACUAAGGAAUUUUUCUCGAUUAUGUAGGUGAUAAAAGAGUUCGUCGUAAAGGGUUACGUUGAUGCAAGCUUUGACACUAAUCUGGAUGACUCUGAGUAGUAAACCGGAUUCGUAUAGUGGAGCAGCCAGUUGGAAUUGUUCCAAGUGGAGCGUAGUAGCAAAAUCUACUGUAUGACAUAGAGAUUUGUAAAGUACAUAUGGAUCUAAAUGUUUCAGAUACGUUGACUAAAACACUCUCUCACAAGCAUGGUAUGAUUAAACCCCAUAACUGUAUGGGUGUUAGAUUCAUUACAAUCACAAAGUGAUGUGAACUAGAUUAUUGACUCUAGUGCAAGUGGGAGACUGUUGGAAAUAUGCCCUAGAGGCAAUAAUAAAUUGGUUAUCAUUAUAUUUCCUUGUUCAUGUUAAUCGUUUAUUAUCCAUGUUAGAAUUGUAUUGAUUGAAAAUUCAAAUACAUGCGUGGAUACAUAGACAACACACUGUCCCUAGUGAGCCUCUGGAGGAUUAGCUCGUUGAUCAAAGAUGGUCAAGGUUACCUGGCCAUAAACAUGAGAUGUCGUUUGAUAACAGGAUCACAUCCUUAGGAGAAUGAUGUGAGGGACAAGACCCAAACUAUGAACGUAGCAUGUGAUCGUGUUAGUUUAUUGCUACUGUUUUCUGCAUGUCAAGUAUUUGUUUCUAUGACCAUGAUAUCAUGAAACUACCAGGAACUGGAGGAAUACCUUGUGUGUAUCAAACGUCGCAACGUAACUCGGUGACUAUAAAGGUGCUCUAUAGGUAUCUCCGAGGGUGUGUGUUGGGUUGGCGUGAAUCAACACUAGGAUUUGUCACUCCGUGUAACGGAGAGGUAUCUCGGGGCCCACUCGGUAAUACAACAGCACAACAAGCUUGCAAGCAAUGUAACUAAGGAUUUAGUCAUGUGAUCUUGUAUUGCGGAACGAGUAAAUAGACUUGCCGGUAACGAGAUUGCGCUAGGUAUGGAGAUACCGACGAUUGAAUCUCGGGCAAGUAACAUAACGAUAGACAAAGGGAAUUGUAUACGGGAUUGAUUGAAGCCUUGACAUCAUCGUUCGACCGAUAAAUAUAUUUUUAGAAUAUGUAGGAGCCAAUAUGGACAACCAGGUCCCGCUAUUGGUUAUUAUCCAGAGAGUGUCUCGGUCAUGUCUGCAUAGUUCUCGAGCCUGCACGGCUGCACACUUAACGUUCAGUGACGAUUUGGUAUUAGUGAGUUAUGUGUGAUGGUAACCGAAUAUUGUUCGGAGUCCCAGAUGAGAUCAUGUAGAUCAUGAGGAGCUUUGGAAUGGUCCGGAGGUAAAGAUUUAUACAUGGGAAGUCAUAUUUUGGCUACCGCAAAAGUUUCGGGUUUUUCCGGUAUUGUACCUGGAAGCUUCUAGAAGGUUCCAGAAACUUCUAGAGGAAUUCGGAAGUCCACCAAGGGUUCUACCACGUAUCAAGGGUUUGCAUGGGCUAAUGAGAGACAUCCUGGCCUUAUUGGGCCAAGCGCACAAGUCCCUCAAGGCCCAUGCAGUUGGGAAAGCUCGAAAUUCCACCUUUGUAUGGAAGGGAAGGAGGGGGACUAGGAUUCCAUCUCCUCCACCCUUGGCUGCACCCUAGGGCUUGGAGGGGCUGUUCCCCAUGCCCCUCCACCUAUAUAUAGAGGGGAGGGGGUGCCCCAAGAGGACACACAAAGCCCUUGGCACCCCUCUCUCUUCCCAGAUCAUUUUCUCCUUCGUUCGCAGUUUCGGUAGCGCUAGGCGUAGCCCUGUCGGGAUAGCUCCACCACCGCCGCCACCAUGCUAUCGUGUCGCCUGAGAAGUCAUAAACCUCUCCGUCAUCUCGUGCUGGAUCAAGGAGGCGAAGAACGUCAUCUAGCUGUACGUGUGCUGAACGUGGAGGUGUCGUCCGUUCGACACUAGAUCAGAAUGGAUCGUGAUGGGAUCACGGGACGAGUUGCGAUUUGGAUCGCGAAGACGUUCGACUACAUCAACAGCGUUAUAUAUGCUUCCGCUUAGCGAUCCACAUGGGUAUGUGGAUCCAAUCUCUCCUCUCGUAGAUGCUCAUCACCAUGGAUAGAUCUUUUGUGUGCAUAGAAUUUUUUUUGUUUCCCAUGCAAUGUUACCCAACAUUUUUUACUUAGGUGAAAGCAGGUUCACAGCUGAGCCCCCAUGCAUGGAGAUCAUCCUCACUCGGGUCAUGUUUUACGUUAGGUGAAAUCAGGUUCGUUGGUGAGGAUUCUCACCCACCGGGUGUGUGUUUCACCGGAGUGAGAGGUCUGACAAUGUUUGAAGAAAGAAAGUACUUUUAUUCCUCAAACCAUUCGAAUUCAUUACAAGAAUUAAAAGAUAUGUUCUAUGUAUAGAACUUGCGGAGUAGGUCCGCCUUCGAGGUUGUGGGGUCCUCGGCUCCAUUCUGGAAGUUGUACAAUCAAUAAGCUCUAUUGUGCAAGACUUUGGAGAUAGUGUAGGGCCCUUGCCAAGGAGGUCCCAGCUUGUGGGGUUUUUGUUGGUCCAGUCGGAGGACCAAGUCGCCCUCGUGUAAAGCUCGCCCUCUGUCUUUCUUGUCAUGGUAGCGCCUUGGAUCUUACUGAUAAAGUAUAGAACGAAUGAGGGAUAGCUCUCUCUCUCUUUUUCCAAGAGAUCCAGUCUCUUCUGACGUGCCACCUCAGCUUCAGCUUCAUUGUAUUGCUCCACUCAGGGGGAGUUGUGACGUAAGUCAGUCGGUAGGACUGCUUCAGACCCAUACACCAUGAAAAAAGGGGUACGCCAGGUGGAACAAUUUAGAGUCAUUCGCAUGCCCCACUGGACAGAUGGCAACUGUUCCACCCAUGCUCCUGCAGUGUACUUGAGAUCCCUCAUCAAUUGGGGCUUCAAGCCUUGUAAUAUCAUACCAUUCGCCUGCUCUGUUUGACCAUUCAACUACGGGUGAGCCAUGGAGGUGCAAUUAACCCAAGUGCCUUGGGAGUAGUAGAACUUGCGAAAUUGAUCUGAGUCGAAAUUGGACCCAUUGUUGGUGAUGAUAUCAUGUGGAACUCCGAAUCUCAAGAUAAUUUGCCGAAUGAAGAUGCUGGCGGUUGAUGAGUCUAGGCUUUUGAUGGGCUUCUCUUCAACCCACUUGGUGAACUUGUCUACUGCUAGUAGCAGGUAAAUAAAUCCGUUUGACCCAGUUCACAGAGGGCCGACUAUGUCGAGGCCCUAUGCGGCGAAUGGCCAGGUGAGUGGAAAUGUCUUCAAUAUGGAUGCGGUUUUGUGUGACUAAUUCUUAUAGAAUUGGCAUCCAACACACAGAUCAACCAGGACUCUUGCUGCCUCAUUGGUUCAUGGCCAAUAAAAACCCGCACGGAAUUCCUUGGACACUAGUGUCCGAGAGAACGAAUGAUGGCCGCAGGUUCGCACGUGAAUCUCGUGCAAGAUCCGCAGUCCUUCCUCUGGGGAGAUACAUUUCUGAUUGACUCUUGUGGCACUUUUCUUGUAUAGUUGAUCCCCCAAAACAUCAAAAUCUUUAGACCGUCGGACGAUUCGGUGGGCUUCCUCUUUGUCCUUUGGGAGUUCUUCCCAGAGCAAGUAAGCCACAUAAGACUGAGUCCACUCGGGAGUGAUGACCAAAAUCUCAUGGAUUAGGUCCAUCAUAGCCGGGACAUCGAUUUUAGUCAGAUUUGUAGGACUGACUGCCUGUGGGGACUCCUUGUGAAAGGAUCCUCUUGGACUGAGGGAGUGUGCAAAUCUUCAAGGAACACGCCCUUUGGGAUGACACGCUGAGUGGAACCAAUCUUGGCCAAGUCGUUAGCUGUGUGAUACUUGGCCCGGGGCACGUAGUGCAACUCCAACCCUUCAAAAUUCAUUUCGAGCUUCCUGACUGCAUUGCAAUAACCGAUCAUGGAAGGUAUCCGAAUGUCCCAUCCCUUCAUCACCAGAUUAACGACGAUGUCUGAGUCACCGUAAAACUUCAAACACCGGAUACCGAGUGAGAUGGCCAUACGUAGCCCAUACAGGAGGGUUUCGUACUCGGCCUAGUCGUUAGAUGAGUCAAAGUGGAUCUCGAGCACGUAGAUCAGUUGGUAUCCCCGGGGGGAAACGAGAACAACUCCAGCUCCCAAGCCAUGCAGCAUUUUGGACCCGUCAGAAAACAUAGUCCAAUGCUCAGGGACACUCGGGGUGGCUGCUCUUGCUCUAUCCAUUCGACCACGAAGUCCACCGGGGCCUGAGACUUGAUGGCUUUUUUGGCUUCAAACUUGAUCUCCAACGGUAGGAGUUCAAUCGCCCAUUUGGCCACGCAACCAGUGGCGUCUCUGUUAUGUAGGAUUUUCAACAGAGGGGCAUCGCUGAUAACUGUGCUCGAUUGAUCUUGGAAGUAAUGAACCACCUUCUUCCUCGUCACAUAGAUACCAUAGACCAGCUUCUCGUACUGCGGGUACCUUUGCUUGAAGGGUGUCAAAACUUGUGAGAUGUAGUAGAUGGGCCUCUGUACCUUGAAGGCUUUGCCUGCUUCCUCUCCCUCCACGGUGAGAACGCUCCUAACCGCUUGGCUAGUGGCUGCGAUAUAAAGGAGCAAAGGCUCCCCGGCUGCCCAGAGCAGCUAACACCGGCUGGGUGGAAAUUAAAACCUUAAGUUGGUCGAUUGUGAUUUACACUUCGUUGGUCCACUCGAACCUGUCAGAUUUCUUCAUCAGUCGGUAAAGAGGCAGUGCCUUUUCACCGAGUCUUGAGAUGAAAUGACUCAAGGCCGCAAGGAAACCUGUAAGCCUUUGCACAUAAUGGAUGCUCUUUGUACGUAUCACUUGAACUAUGGCACCAAUCUUUCUGGGGUUAGCAUGAUGCCUUGUUAAGAAACAAGGAAACUGAGUAAAUUGCCAGCUGGCACGCCGAAUGUGCACUUGGCUGGGUUGAGUUUGUUCCCAUAGUGCCAUAGGUUCGCGAAGGUCUUGGCGAGGUCAGUCAGGAGGUCGGAACCUUUCCUAGACUUGACCACUAUGUCAUCCAUGUAAGCCUCCAUGUUCCCACUGAUCUGCUCAUGCAAGCACUUCUAGAUCAUAUGCUGGAAAGUGGCCCCCGCAUUUUUGAGACCGAAUGGCAUAGUGAUGUAGCAGAAACACCUGAAUGGGGUGAUGAAGGUCGUUUUUAUUUCAUAAGUCCCAUACAUUCGGAUCUGGUGGUACCCGGAGUACGCAUCCAGGAAUGAUAGGCGUUCACAUCCGACAGGAGAGUCUACAAUAUNNNNNNNNNNNNNNNNNNNNNNNNNNNNNNNNNNNNNNNNNNNNNNNNNNNNNNNNNNNNNNNNNNNNNNNNNNNNNNNNNNNNNNNNNNNNNNNNNNNNGCAUGCAAGCUUUAUGAUUUUUACUUGCUUGCCUCUGGUUACCAGUGUUUUCUUCUUCCAGUCAACCUGGUCAAUCAACCAUAGAGUUAUGGCUCUUGGGAGACGGCAAUUUAGCAUACUAAAAAUGAGCAAACCGAGCUCAUCCACCCAUACUCUCUAUGUUUCAUUUACCGGUGGGACAAUUUCAUGAAUUUUAUGAGGCACAUACUUCAACCCGACGACCUGAAUUUAUCUAACAAGUGUUAAUUGCUAUCAACAAAACAUGUGUAAUGAAUGUGUAUAUAGAUUAUGUUGGUGUAGGCUAUACAUACCGGUCUAGGCUCAGUGUUGGGUUGUGUGCUCUGCUUCUUGUCCCUUCGAGGCAAUGAUUUCCUCAUGUUCCUAUUUGAUGCAUCUACUUCCUCCUCCAUGCUAUAAUCCGAUUCUUUCGUCUCGGAACUUGACUCCACAAUCUUGACAAGUUUCUUCUUUUGUGGCUUCUUCAUCUCCUUUGUAGGCUCACUGUCGGAGCUCAAGUCGUCUCUUUUGUCCUUCGACUUCCUCUUUCUUUAAGACUGCUCGAUUUGUGACAUAUAGUCUUUUCUUCCUUUAGCAUUCCUAUCCCCAGCAAACCUUUCACCCCUCAUAGUUGAAGCACAUUUACUUGAUUUCAUCUUCCUCUUUCUGUCAAUAUCAUCGCUCUCCAAACUCAAUUCAGAUUCACUGCUUCUUGGGUCCUCCCUUGACUUCAUAUUUGCUUUAGUUUUCCUCCUGCCUUUGUCUUCUCCACUUCCCGACAUGUUCUAUGAUGACUCUUUCUUGUUUUAUCAGGCUUGUAAUGAGCUUCGUCACUUUCGUAAAAGUCCUCAUCGUAUUCACGGUGUUUCCUUCUUAUUUUCAGGGCUUCCUUUCUACCAUCACCCUUGCACUGCUUCCUCUUAUCAUACAUUGGUUCUUCAGACUCUGUUUUUUCGGAUUCACUAUUAGCAUGCUCCAUCUUGCGUAUUUUUCUCAAUCUUGGAGAUAUCCGCGUGCAGAGCUCAUUUCCAGACAAUUUUUCUUCCAUUUUAUCACUGAAAACACACAAAAAACCAUCCAAUUCAUGGCAUUUGUGCACAGAGUGAAUGGUAAAAUGCCCUCCAUGACAGGCUGAAAUAACACUAAUUAGAAAUAUGACAUGUAACCAACAACUUCAUACUCACGAAUCAAAAAUCUGUUAUAUGCGCAUGAUACUAUGGGGUGGGGUUCUUAUAUAUCGAUAACGGGGAACUUAAAGUUGCCGCACCCCGUAAGAAAUGAUGUGAUUGAAGCGCAAAAUAGAGUAUUUGUGAUUCGACUCUGUUAUCUAACAAAUCAAUGGCGGUCAAAAAUACUAAAAUGAAUCCAAAGUAAACUAUGUCAACAUUGCAUGCACAUUCCACCGCUCAGCAUAGCUAGCUAGCCUCCCCACCCACCGUGACGCGGGUCGCCCCGGCCGCGGCGGCCACCUCCUCGGCAUUAAUGGCCCGAAGGUCUCCCUCUGGAUCCAGCAGUUCCUCGCGCGCCAGCCCCGCGCGCUCCCCUCGGGCCGUCGGUCCAUCCCCAGCGUUGCCGUCGUAGUCGUCGGCAGAUCCUGAUCCCGUCCCCUCGCCGCGGAUCCGGCUGCGGGAGGGGGGCUCCGGCCAUGGGGCCACGGGCUGCAGGCCGCAGUCCGCCGGUCCGUCUGCAGCCGCGGGGAGGGGGGGGGGCUUCGGACUGCCUGGAGGGCCGGUCGGCUCCCUCGCUGUCACCACGCGCGACGAGACGGCCGUCUACCUCGCCAUCCCCAUCGGUCGUCGCGUCGAAUGGACAGCCGGAUCCUCCGGCGCGUCAGGCAAAAAGGCUCUGCUCCAUCAUAGUCGCACCGCCCCGUUCCCCGGAGCCUUCAUGGAUAGAGGUAAGUCACCGCAGGCCGCGCGGCACUCCCGCAGGACCGCCGGUCGAUGCGAGGAAUCGAGGAGCACAGCGCUCGGACCGCGACGGCGUAGUAAAGGCUCUGAGGCAACGUGAGCUCUUUUUAUCUCAGUUCCGCGGUCGCUGCUUCCGUUGCCUGAGCAAACGCCACCGCUUAGCACAGUGUAGGGAUCCCAUACACUGCAUCAUCUGCCGUCGAGCCGGGCACGUCGGCCGGCUCUGCCCCAAGAAAUCCGGCGCGGCACCAGCAGCCGCAACAGUUAGGUCCAGGUUGGGGCCUCCUCCUUCGGGGCAACCCCUGCAAGCCCGCGUUAGGUUCCCCCCUCCACCCUCCACUCUCACCGCGGGUCCGAUGGCCCAAGCCAUGCUGCUCCACGUCGAUCCCGCGCGCCGGCCUAGGAUCAGCCGCUCCGUGGCCAUCCCAUCCCCGGAGGUGGACCAAGCGGUCUUCUUCCUGCGGAACCACGCCGUCACGCUAUCGGCCGCAGACGGGGUUAACGCCUCGUCCCCCAUGGCGGUUGGAAGAGCACUGGAGGCCCAGCUCGCGGUCCCGGCGCACUCUCUCCGGGUGACGGCGCACCAUCCAGAGCACUUCUUCGUCAUCUUCACGCAGCCGGCGCACCAGGUCAAUGCCGUGCGCCGUGGUUCUAUCAGGGUAGACGGCGCCUCCUUCUCCAUCGCCUCCUGGCACGAGCACGACCACGCGUCGUUCGACGCCCUACAGCUGCACGUCCGGGUCGUCAUAGAGGGGGUGCCGAUGCAGUUCUGGUCCGUCGACGGGGCGGAGGAGAUCCUCGGGAGAAGGGUCAGGGUGGACCGCCUCGACAGUAGGACGCUAGAGCGCGGCCACACCAAGACCUUCGCCUGCUGGGUUUGGACCAACAACGUUGAAAACAUCCCCACCAGGCACACGCUCGGGGUACUACCGAGGGGGGCAGGCCGUGUCGAGGAGAUGGAGGGCUUCUCUCCGCCCGACAUGAGGGUAGCUCCACCACCGGCCACAGCAGAAUACGAGAUGCUAAUCCACGUAGACAGAGUCGAGGACUAGACGCCUCCCUCUCCCCGCUCUUCCCACUCCGGCUAGAGUGGGAUCCCGUCCUCAGGAUCGGAUGAAGACUCCCCGGCUUUCCCGGCAGUAUCAUCUGCUCCCUGGACGAUGGGGGUGGAGGACGGCCAGAGGCCCGACAGACACCCCCGUCUGAAGCGCGCGCCCAUCACCAGCCUGGGCUGCCGCGGCCUGCCGCGGGGUGGCCAGGGGAGAGACCAAGACGAUGAGGACAACGGUGGCAACGGGGCCGACGGCCACCGUUCAUGGAAGGAUGUGCUGCUUCGCCGCGGUCGCACCGUGGCUCAGCCUGUGCCUGCAGCGAACUCGCGCCAGCGCAGCAGGUCCCCCCCGAAGCGCCGUCGACAAAGGGACACCUCGGGCCGCCGUCGCGGUGACACGAGGAGCUCGGGGCAGUCGCGCCAGCCAACGCACAGGGGCCGCUCCAGGCCUCCCCCGCCACCCCCAGCCAGGGAGGCCCCUGCGGCCGUAGGGCACUCGGCUGCCGAUAGCGGCAGUAGAGGAAAGGAUCCAGUAGAUGACUUCUUCAGAUCAGCAAAGAAGUCACUGCUGGCCCCCGCUGCCGUGGAUGGUCUAGCAGCGGACGUGCACGCGGCGGCAGAGGCCGUGCUUGCGGAACCGCUGGCGUUCGACAAGGAGGCGCUGGACAGGACGCCGGGAGAGGCCCUGCAGCUAGAUGCCUUCAGCCCCACGCUCUCGGCCUCGGCGUCGGACUUCGGCCAGUUCAGCAGGGCUACCCCCUCGGCGGCUAGGACACUCGAGGUUCAGUUAGGGGCAGUGACCAGCAGGGUCUGCCAACUGGAGAUAGCCGCUCCAAGCAGCGCGGCCUCGGCGGCCUCCCUCUUCCGCGCUCCCGAGCCGCCGCCGCUCGACCGCCCCACCUCGGCCCCGCGGCGCUCAGCAGCGCCCCCGAAGAGCAGGUCCAUCUUGGCACCUACCCGCCCCAGCGCCAGGCAAGCGGCGGCUGGCUCGACAGUCCCGGUGGCAAAGAGAGCCUCCCUCCGCAUCGUAAAAGAGCUGGGGCUUUUAGGGCCAAGGGAGAAGAUGACGGCAGAGGUGGCAAAGGCGCUUCUGCAACGGUUCAAGGAACCUCUGACGGACAACGACAUCGCGACCAUAGCCAAGCUCACACGCCUAGACGACGAGGCUCUUAGGGUCAUGGCGCAGAUGGCUGGCUCUGAUGGGAUCGCCGAGGAGGCCAUAGUGUGAUCAUGUUAGUAGUCUACUUUAGCAGCUUGCGGUGGCGGUCGGUCGCUGAUCGGCUGGAGUUAGGUUUCAUUUCUAGUUCCCAGGAUAGAGGUUUAGGUGAUCGUCGUCGCUGGCACGUGUUUGGGCCUAAGGGUGGGUGCCAGCGAUCCCUUGUUAAGUUGGAAGUGUCCUGUUUGGGCCCGAGGCCAAGUAGAAUUUGCCACCGUAGUAUGCCUGGGUUUCCCCAUGAGUGAACCACUUAGCCCGAUCAUGUGUUGGAAUGUCCGCGGCCUAAACAACCCGGCAAAGCGGGCGUCCGUAGCAGAGAUGGCAGCAGCACACCGUGCCGUCAUACUAUGUAUUCAGGAGACAAAGAUUGCGACGUGGUCUCCGGAGCUAGUUCAUGAGUUAGGAGGUCAAACCCUCCCCGGUUGUAUUGCGCUCCCGUCGAUGGGCACUUGCGGGGGAGCCGCCAUACUAUGGAACAAAGACCUAGCUACCGUUACCUCCCACGCCAUAGGAGAGUUCGCCAUCACGGCUAAGGUUUGCCUGCUUGGCCAAAGUGAUAGCUUCUGGUUAUCAACGGUCUACGGGCCGGCGGAUGAAGCGAGAAAAGAUAGAUUUCUCUCGGAGAUAUCUCGAUCUGCUCCGCCUGCAGCAAAGCCAUGGCUUAUCAACGGAGAUUUUAACCUCAUUUACGAGGCUAGGGACAAGAACAAUCUCAAUCUAAAUCGUAGACUCAUGGGCCGAUUCAGAUCAGCCCUAGAUAUGGCAGGAUUGAGAGAGAUUAGAUGUAACAACCGUAGAUACACCUGGACAAACGAGCGUCGUAAUCCCACUCAGAUGAGCAUAGACAAGUUCUUCUGCAACCAAGCAUGGGAAGGGUUGUUUCCAUCGGCUUCUCUCCAUGCGGCAGCCUCGGCCACCUCGGAUCACUGUCCUUUGAUCCUAGCAGAUACCAGCAGCGUACCUAGGGCGGCGAUUUUCAGAUUCGAAAGCUUCUGGCCGGCGUUCCCAAGAUUCCACGACACCGUAGCUAGAGUAUGGAAUCGGCCAGUGCAAGACACCAGCACCUUCCAAAGGCUGAACACUAAGUUGGUACGCACCGCCAGGGACCUAAAAAUCUGGAGCAAAGGCUUCUUCAGUGAUGCCAAGCUCCAGUUCCACAUGGCAACAGAGAUAGUUCUUAGAUUUGAUGUAGCACAGGAAGAACGCAUCCUCACGGACGCUGAGUUCAACCUAAGAAGGCUGCUCAAGCUCCGGUUGCUGGGCCUGGCGGCGCUAGAGCGUGCCCGUCGACGGCAAGCAUCCUGACUCACCUGACUACGUCUAGGUGACGCAGGCACAAAGUUUUUCCACGCCAAAGUAAGAGCAAGAAAUAGAAAAAACUUCAUCCACUGCCUGCAAGUGGGACCAGAGAUAGCUACAACGCACGAGCACAAAGAGAAUGCAAUAUUCCAACACUUCUGCAGUCAUCUUGGGGCCACAGUUGAUCGCCACACGGGCAUAAAUUGGGAUAGGCACGACAUGCCGACAGUACAGGAUAGAGGCCUGGACAACCCCUUCACAGAGGAGGAGGUCUGGGAGGCGAUCAAGGCAUCCCCGUCGGAGAAGGCGCCAGGCCCAGAUGGCUUCACAGGGGCUUUCUUCAAAGCUUGCUGGGGCACCAUCAAGCAGGAUAUCAUGGAAGUUUUUCAUAGCUUCUACCACCUGGCCAGGGGCGACUUUAGCAGCCUGAACACAUCCAUGAUAGUACUCCUUCCAAAAAAAGAAGGCACAAUGAAGGUGCAGGACUUCCGACCGAUCAGCCUAAUUCACUCAGUAGCCAAGCUAAUUGCCAAGGUUCUUGCUAUCAGACUGACGGGGGUGAUCAGCAGCAUCAUCUCCCCGGCGCAAUCUACCUUCCUGAGCUCCAAGUCAACACAAGAUAGUUUCCUGUAUGUUCAAAACGUAGUACGCUCGCCACAUCGUAAGAAGAGGCCCGCGCUGAUGUUCAAGCUAGACAUCGCCAGAGCGUUUGACAACGUCUCCUGGGAGUACCUAUUAGAGCUCCUCCAGCGGCUAGGGUUCCCCCCGUGUUGGCGCGAUUGGAUAUCUUUCCUUCUCAGCUCCGCGACAUCGGCAGUCAAGCUAAACGGCUCCGUCGGCCCAAAGUUCAGGCAUAAAAGAGGGCUAAGGCAGGGGGAUCCUAUAUCGCCCCUACUAUUUAUCAUAGCCAUCGACACACUGCAUAAGCUACUGGAGGCAGCAACGCAGCUCGAGAUCCUAGCGCCGCUGCCAAGGAGAGACAUCACGUUGAGAGUUAGCCUCUAUGCGGACGACGCGGUCAUCUUUGCCAACCCUGUCAAGGGGGAGAUCGACGCCAUGUUACAGCUGCUGCGGGACUUCGGCCAUGCCACGGCCCUGCACGUAAACCCUGCCAAGUCGACAGUAUCCGCCAUCCGUUGCAGUGACAUAAACCUCGGCGACGUCCUUGCAAACUUCGGGGGACAGACAGUAGGCUUCCGGGUACGAUACCUAGGUCUACCGUUGACGAUCGCUAGACUCCGCUUAGUGCACAUCCAAUACAUCCUUGAUAGGAUUAGGGCCAGACUCGCUGGCUGGAAGGGGAAGCUUAUGAGCAUCGCAGGCAGACAGGUCCUAGUCUGCAGCGUCCUCACUGCCCUGCCGACUUUUGCCCUCGCUGUGCUACGAGUACCAAAGAAAAUCCUAGACAACAUAGAUAAGGCGAGGAGGCGCUUCCUUUGGGCUCAAGACGACCCAAUCAUCGGGGGGAAAUGUAAGGUCAACUGGCCUGUGGUUUGCUCGCCAAUCGACUACGGAGGCCUAGGGAUUUUGGAACUAAGUAGAUUCUGCAGAGCUCUCAGGCUGAGAUGGCUUUGGCUGUCAUGGACUAGCCCAGACAGACCAUGGAUUGGUUCACAAUUACCAUGCGAUAACGACGACAGAAACCUUUUCUGUGCCUCUACGGCGGUAUCACUAGGAGACAGGGCAACGGCCUCUUUCUGGCACUGCUCCUGGACAGGAGCGGGAAACCUUAGAUCGGAAUUCCCAACGCUGCACAAACACUCUAGGAAGAAGAACCGUACAGUGAGAGAGGCCCUCCAAAACGACACAUGGAUUAAGGACCUUGCCCACGGCGACAACGCUCACAUUUGGGCAGAGACGCUUAGGCUGCAUAGAUGGUUGCAAACUUCAGGGCCUCACCUCCAGGAAAACUCCAGAGACAUCAUCUCUUGGAUCCACGAGGCGUCAGGGCUAUACUCCGCUAGCUCAGCGUACAAGGCUCAGUUCCAGGGGCACACAAGAUCACCCUUUAGAAAGUUGAUCUGGGCUUCUUGGGCACUUGCUAGACUAAAAAUAUUCUACUGGCUGCUAUUGCGAAACAGGCUGUGGUGCAACGACCGCCUACAGAGGAGGGGAUGGCCAAAUGGGUACUUCUGCCAGCUCUGCCUCCGGAAUCUGGAAACGGCAGAUCACUUGUUCUGGCAAUGUACGAAGGUGUUGGAAGUUUGGACACUGGUGUCGGCCAGACAUGGAUGUGUCUCGCUCAACCCAGCGGUAUGGAAAGACAGGACCACACCACACGAUAUCAUAAUGGACAUGAUAAGCAAAGCCAGGCCCGAGCACAAGAAAGGGAUUAGGACGAUGAUUAUACUUAUCUUAUCAUAAAUCUGGAAGGAGAGGAACGACUGCACAUUCAGACUGAAGACUCCCGCCGUCAGGAACAUGAUUAUUUCCAUACAGGAUGCCUUGGAGCUUUGGAGGCAGGCAGGUGCUGCCUGCCUCGUGCAUCCCUUCGGGGACUCAACGGGAGAAAUCACGUAGUGGGUUUAGCUCCCUACGGGGACGGAUGGGUCUUAUCCUUUUUUGUUUCUUAUGAACUUUUCCUUUGAUCCGUUUUGGGUCGCCACCACCUUGAUGUAUUCCCGCUCUCUACCUGCUUCGUUUAAUAUAUGCCAGCCAGCAGCUGGAUCUUUCAAAAAAAAGAAAUACUAAAAUGCUUCAACUCUGCUACAACUCUCGGGCUGUCAGAUCUAGACUACAAACUUGCUUUGCUGAAGCUUGAAGGUCCACUCCACUUCCUCUUGCCGAAACGGUUGCUGAAGAACGGCGGGGGGGGGGGGGGGNNNNNNNNNNNNNNNNNNNNNNNNNNNNNNNNNNNNNNNNNNNNNNNNNNNNNNNNNNNNNNNNNNNNNNNNNNNNNNNNNNNNNNNNNNNNNNNNNNNNNNNNNNNNNNNNNNNNNNNNNNNNNNNNNNNNNNNNNNNNNNNNNNNNNNNNNNNNNNNNNNNNNNNNNNNNNNNNNNNNNNNNNNNNNNNNNNNNNNNNNNNNNNNNNNNNNNNNNNNNNNNNNNNNNNNNNNNNNNNNNNNNNNNNNNNNNNNNNNNNNNNNNNNNNNNNNNNNNNNNNNNNNNNNNNNNNNNNNNNNNNNNNNNNNNNNNNNNNNNNNNNNNNNNNNNNNNNNNNNNNNGGGGGGGGGGGGGGGGCGUGGUGCGGCACGACGGACCUGUCCAAUCCAGCGGUUACUCAGACAAAUGCCGAGAGGAAAGGGUCCCAAAGAUGGAGGACACAAUGUAUUAAGUGCUGAUGUGGGCUCCACUGUAUCUAUUGUGUGCGAAUACACACAACAAAAAAUCCUUUGGUAACUGUUGUUACGUUGACUACAGUACACGAUUAAUUUGUACGCACGCAUCGCAGAAUACAUCCAAUGCUUGUGCGAUACCCGGUAGAAACCGGUACCGCUAGUUUUUCAUUACGAAGAUCUGCCAUAGUUGUCGUCAAAAAGUGUAGAGAAAUCCAUCAUGUGCAUUCGUGUAUGAGCCAAGUGCACUCAUCUAAGACCGGUCAAAAACUGCUGGCUGGUGAUGUGCUGCUUUGUGCGGCUUCAAACGAUCAUCUGGGGACGGUGUUGCCAAUGUGCUGGUGAAGAACCUUAGCACGCACCUUUGAUGGUGUCCGGAGUGUGUGGAAGCAGGGAGGCAUCCCUGUUAGCGGGAGCCACUGGCCCAUGGGCGGAGCUCGCGGCUCGGAUGCUGGCAGGCUUGUUGUCAUGGCUGCAUGGGUGGUAUGGGGUGGGCCUUCACCGAUCUACGGUGGUGGUGCGGCCGACGUUCUCCUAUCGUGCCAUACCUUAGGUGGAGGCGGAGGGUGGUGGCUGAGGUGAAAACCUCGUAUGGUUUGGACCAAACCAAUGGUGCGACGUCCAUGCGGCGUUCCCUUCCUGAAGGCUCCAUCGCGGCAGCCCUGCGUCCUUCGAGGCACUUCAUGUGAAAACCUCGAUUCAGUGGAUCGGGCGGUUGCGGCUCUUUGGUGUCGUUUCUUUUUUGGAAGCACCGCUUUGGAGUUCCUGGGUCAUCGAGUUUCGGCGUCGUCUCCUCGCGGCGACUCAUUCUCAGUGGAGCGCUCCAUAGUUCCUUAGAUGCUCUUAUGUCUGUUAGUUGUUUUCUUUGGUGUUUUGGAGUAUUGUUGUUGAUCGUCGGCCCCUUGUACCAGCCUUGGGUGUGUGUGGUGUGCGGUUGUUUGAAUUUUGUAUGUUGAUCGUUGCUUUAUAUAUAAAGCGGGGCGAAAGCCUUUUUCGGUAAGACCUCAGGCCAACUCCAACGUGCGACCUCAAAUGGUUCGACCGCGUCCGUUUGAAAGAAAACAGACAUAAAUUGUGGUCCAACACACAGAAGCAAAAUAGACAAAUGUCUGUUUUUGUUUGAUUUCGACUUAUUUGCGUUGAGACACACAACGCACGGACGGGCGGGGCGUGUGCCCUUGUCCUCCCCUGACCCGCCCAUAGAUGGCUCAGACGCCCUUUUCUCUUCCACUACCCUCCCUCUGUCCUCCUCCAUCGUUGCUACCCGUUGGUACACAUUUUUGACGUCCCUCUUCCUUGCUUUCUUGAUAGGCCACCCAAACCACGACCGCGACUUGUCAUAGCCGGCUCACGCAAGUGUUUCAGAUGAGUUUUUGCCAAUGUUCAUGGCUCUUCCGGUGCAGAGAGAAGCUAACCCCAACACCUUCCGGUAGGCGCUGCAUAGCCGCAUGGCGUCGCCCGCCAACACCAACCUUGCCUGCUGUCUAGUUCCCCUUCGUGUGUCCAACACUACUAUAAGGUGUUCAACACUUUGCUCAUAAGGUACCAUGGAUAGUCGGGAUAAGUAUUUUUCCACAACUUCAUUUGUUCAGCGGAUGACGAAGAGCUUGUGGUGGCUGCAUUGGUCAUCAAUUACCACAUUGCUAGGCAGCGACCUCGGUUCAGGAGAUCAAUCUCGAGUCAUGCUCCGGCCUUGAACUGCAAUAGGUAGAGCGGCCAUACCCUGCUAUAUGCUGAUUACUUUGAGAAUACCGCGCUCUACAAAUCACAUCAAUUCCGUCGCCUCUCCCAUAUGGCGAGACAUGUUUUCAAUCAUAUUCGAGAAGGACUGGUAGCAUAUGACCCAUACUUUGAGUGCAAAGAGGAUGCCCUUGGAAAGCUUGACUUCUCCUUUUAUCAAAAAAGCACUGCAACUAUUCGCAUGCUUGUGUAUGGAAUUCCACGCGAUCUUAUGGAUGAGUACGUGUGUAUGAGUGAGUACACAUGAUUCCUAUCAAUGUACAAUUUCUGCAAGAUUGUGGUGGUAGUGUUUGACCCUGAGUACUUGAGAGAGCCAACUACCAUUGAUACAGAAAGGUUGUUGACGAUCAAUGCCGAGAGGGGCUUUCCGGACAUGCUUGAUAGUAUAGAUUGUAUGCACUAGAAGUGAAAGAACUAUCCAUUUGCUUGGCAGGUGCAGUACAAGGGGCAUGUGAAAGGUGCCACUGUCAUACGCGAAGCGGUAGCUUCAUAAGAUUUGUGGAUAUGACAUUUUUUUUCCAGCAUUACUGGUUCUUACAAUGAUAUCAACGUGCUUCAAUGUUCUCAAGAGUUCGCAAGGCAUGUAGAAGGCCACUCACCAAAGGUCAACUUUGAGACCAAUAUCAACCAUUACAUCUAAGGAUACCACCUAGCUGAUGGUAUAUAUUCUCAGUGGUCAACUCUUGUAAAGAGAUACCCAAUCCACAAAGAGAGAAGAGACAGGGAUUUGCCCAAAUGUAAGAAAGUGCUAGAAAAGAUGUGGAGCAUGGUUUUGAUGUGCUUCAAUCAAGAUGGGGUAUUGUUUAAAACCUACACUGACAUGAAGCACUCAAAAGCUUUGGGAGAUGAUGAUUAUUUGUGUGAUCAUGCACAACAUGAUAGUAAAGGAUGAGCAUGAUAACAUCAUCUAUGAUCAAGAAUUUAAUUUUCAAGAUGAAAAUGUUGAGCGUGAUCAUCAACAACCGGCAACCUCUGAAGAUGACUUGAUUGAGCACAUGUGCGCUUACAUUGACAACAAAUAGAUGUAUCGGUUCAUUUACGUCUCAUCUAUUCAAGACAAUUUCGAUUGGACUGUAAAACUAUUUAAUUGUGUUUUUAUUUGAACAUGAAACUUUAUUAUCUGUGAAACUAUUUGUAUAAUAUUCGCAUUGUUCUAGGACCUUUUCCUCGUUGUGGCGGACCAACAGCGGCCGUGCAUUGAGCGCACGGCCGGUACAUGCAGAAAAACAUACGGACGCCACUCCAUUGUUUUAACAAACGGAUAAAAUUUAAACAAAACAUACUUCUGUUUGGUAUCGUGUAUUGAAGUUGGCCUCAGCUAGCUGGUCUGUGUUCUUGCAGACGAGUUCUUUCUGGUGAUUCUUUAGGUCCACACAAAAAUGACCAAAACAUGUAGGUUUUGUGCAUGGGAAAUCAAUCAAUUUACGAGGCGCAGGACAGAACGGCCACAGAAGCAAGCAGUUGGGCACCACCGGUCACCGGAGGCGUGGAAUCUCCGCCGGGCUCCACGGAACCUGGAACUAGGAUACCCUGUCGUGGUGCACUGGCCCACGGUGUGAGGCGGAGAGGUUCGGCCCGCCCGAGUCCCACACGCUCCCCCACCACAAAAUCGUCGAUCAGAAUCAAUUUCCCCCGGAUGAAACGAGAUUACCCCGGCCGAGACGACUGCCGACUCCCCUCCUCCGCAGGAUGGCGCGGCCGCGAGAGAUCCACAAGCUCCACGCGGUCGUUGGCAGCCCCGGCGGAUAAAACCACGCGAGCACCAGUCAGAAAAAAGCACCGGUCGGAAACUCACACCAACGUCGGUCAAGGCGAGAAGCCGAGAAGCAAUCAGGUGCCAGAAGCCCAGAGCCAACCAGCCUCAGCGCGCGCGCGCGUGUGUGGUGGUGGGAGGUUCUUCAGCAGCUUGCGGGGCUAGAGCGGCGGCAGCGAUGGCGGCGUCCGUGGCCACCUCCCCGGCUUGCAGCCGGCUCAUCCCCAGCAGACCCCUCUCCGCCUCCGCCUCCGCCGCCGCGCCGUCCCUCGUCCGCCUGGCGGGGUCCUCCAGGCGCCUCCGCCGGGCCCUGCGGGUCUCGGCCGCGGCGGAGCCGGCCGACGCGCUGCCGGGGCCCGGGGCCGGCGACCUGGACGGGGUGGUGCCGGCGGGGCUGCUGGAGGACCUGCCGGAGGGCCUCGCCUUCCAGGGCGAUGUGGGCGGGGGUUUCGCCCCCGGCGGCGGCGGCGACGACGGCAACAAGAUGCUCGACCGCGGCAUCAACGCGGCCAUCGUGCUCGGCGCCAG
RNAcentral lists this long non-coding RNA (59462 nucleotides) under Hordeum vulgare. Its description in RNAcentral is "long non-coding RNA (HVUL_LNC000632)". The record is from RNAcentral. Lineage: Eukaryota; Viridiplantae; Streptophyta; Magnoliopsida; Poales; Poaceae.